Molecule: long non-coding RNA, 66938 nt
Filed under: Musa acuminata (dwarf banana)
Lineage: Eukaryota; Viridiplantae; Streptophyta; Magnoliopsida; Zingiberales; Musaceae
Description: long non-coding RNA (MACU_LNC005518)
Source: RNAcentral
UGCCAUAAUCUAUAGUAGUAGUAAUCCAUCAUGGCUUGCACUUAAAGAUCUUCAUAUAAGAACAAACCUUUUUCCAUUGUUCAAUCUCACCUGUGUGAAAAAUACAAAGAAAAAGCAUUUAUUCUCUUCCCUCUCGUAUUUUCUUUAGACAAAGCCAAAGCCUUUAGUCUCCUCCUCGUAUGCCCUUUGUUGACAUACAACGCUGCUGGCCGAGGAAAUUGGAUGCUAUUUUAGCUGCGUUACAAAAGCUGAGAAAAGGAUGAGAGUUAUAGGUCAGUCCACGUGAAAAGGAAUCAAUGUUGAUAAGAAAGAAAUAGACCAAAGACAAAACAUAAAGGAUUAUAAAGAACAGCAACGAGGGAAUGUCAAUAUUCUUUGGCCCAGACUUCUUUUGUUCCCCUCCUAAGUCACUGAUAAAAGAGAUGAUGUUGUGAAAACUACGGUGCUGUGACGAAAUUUGGUCAAAAAAUAAUUAUAAUUGAUGAAAAUAAUAGAAGAUAAGAACAAUUAUUAAAGAAACUUUAUUGAUGAAAAGAAAAAACUUAAAUAUAUUAACAUGUCCCUCUCCUAUUUAUACAAAUGAUGCUCCUGUUAAGAAUAUCAAGUAGAGCAAGAGCAGAUCGUUGCUGUUGCUGUGAGGGCACAAGCGUUCCUUUAAUUUCCCUUAAGUCCGUCUUUCGUUCUCCUUAAGUCCGUCGACCUCUUAGGAAUUUGACUGUUGUGGCAUUAGUCAUUGACCGAAGGCAAAGACGAAGCUUUACUUUUCUAAACGGCGUUGAUCAUUGGUAGUUAAGAAAAUCUUAUCUUCUAUCAAUAAUAAGAGACCAAUUAUAGUAUUAGAGUUCAAAUGCUUUAGAUAGAAUAAUGAUAUAUCUGUAUCAGAUUUAAUUCGUCUCCUUUUAUUCCACAGAUAUAAAUAUUUUCAGCAAUUACGUACUGUAGGUCUCUAUUAUAAGUGUGUCAAGUGUGUCUUGCAUCAACGAGUGAGUCACGUUUAGAUUUGAUUGAUCUGAAGUCAACCUGUCUGUAUACCUCUUGUUUGGUUUGCAUUGGAGAUGGCAUCUUCAGCACAUGAUUAGGAAUCCGAUUAAAGUUUCAUGAUAGCUUUCUCGUGGGCUUGUUUUAUUCCUUUAGUUUCGAUUCCUGCAACUUUCUAUCCCUUUCAUAACCACACUCCUUAUCUUUCUCUUGUCUUUAGGCUUCUCCAUCAGUCUCUGCUGCUAAAGGUGCUUAGUGGCAUUGAGUAGGAGCUAAAGCUUUAAAGAAAGUUGAUGUCCUCAAACCAAUACGACAUAGUGGCUCAAGAAUCUAUCGCUCACAAGUCUUAUAUGCUCAUAAUUAUGUUGCUCUCAAAUAAAUCCUCCUGACUGGGAACAUGAACACAAAUAGGUGACUGCCAAUGAAGUUACCAAAAGCAAGAGCUUGUAUUAGAAUAGCUUAAUGGAGUUUCACGCUUGUAAAAGCUGACUUGCAACGAAAUUAGAAUCUUAGGUAUGUGUGUUAUACUGCUGCAACAGAAGAAGAUUACACAGAAAUGUGCAAGCCAUAUGCUCGAGCAGCUGUCAUGUUGUCAUUAUCUUUAGCUAAAAGCACUUUAGCUUCGCUCGAGUUAAAGAACACUUUUCAGAGGUGAAUCCUUUUAGCUACAAGACAAUGCUCGGAUAGGACGAGAAUGACUGAAACCUCAAAGUCAAGAGAGCUUUUCUUUGCUUGGAAAUGCAUUAGUUGUUGUACACCUGAAUUAUUAUGCUUGAAGAGCUGCCGAAGAGAGCUCUUCUUCAUGCCUUGGCCACGAAUCGCUUGUGAUUAAUGCAGACCAGAGUUCUUUGCAUCAAUUCGCUUGUGAUUAAUUUGUAGCAUGGAAUCUUAUCCUAUUAUUUGGAAAGAUUGUGCUGUAUGAUCGAGAAUUUAGGACUGCAAUCGAUUGAGUGCUCGGUCUUUUCCUUUGUUUCUGACCCCUGCAACUUUUCUCUCUCUUUCUUAACCACUCUCCUUAUAUCUUUGGUUUAUCUUUAUGCUUUUCUACUUGGGCUGUUGAUAAAAGCUAUUAGGUGCCAUUGAUUAGGAGCUAAAGCUUACAAAAGCUGAGAUGGUCAUAGUUGCACAAGAAUCUAUCAUCAGGUAUGAAGAUGAUAUGCUCAUGAUUAUGUUAUUUCCAAAUCCAUCGUAUUGGGAACAUGAACAAAAAGGCAGAACCUUCUCCUCUACUAGUUGAGUAUAUGAACAUGGAGAGUUGAAGCAUUUGAGAAGCAACAUCUGCUGUUACAGGAAAGUCAUCAGCUGUAUAAUGACUGCUCUUCAUUUCAAACAAGAGAUCGCCUUGACACAAGAUUUGAAUCAAAUGAUACUCAAUGUAGCAUUCAAAUCUGCUGGUUUUUUAGUGUCAGGCAGGUGAAUGGCACGCAGGAGCACAUAGUUAAAGCUAACAAAGAGGUAACAGCUUGUAUUGGAACAGAUCAAUGGGACGCAUGCUGGUAAAAAGUGGAUUUUUAGACUCAGAUUAAAGUCUUGGCCAUGUGUGUCAGACAGAUUCCAUCUCUAAGAUUUCAAGAGUCCAGAAAUGUGCAAGCCAUUUGCCCAUUCAGAGCAAUCUUGAUGUCAAUGUCUUUUGCUAAGAACACCUUUAGACCCUUUUUACUAGAUGCCAAUGCAAUGCAUUCAAUCUUUCAUGUGUUGAUGUGUCUCUACCAUUAGCUGCUAUAUUGACAAGUUGGAUGAAGUUCUUUGGUGUGCCAUUUUAUGAGGAUGAAACAUGCAACGAAAAUUAGAAGUCUAAAAUCUGUAGAGAGAGAGAGAGAGAGAGAGAGAGAGAGAGAGAGAGAGAGAAUUAGGACACAUAUUUCAAAUCAAUGAUGUUAUCUCAUCUACAUGAAACUGCUACUCACCCAGCUUUUUUCUUGAAGGCAUAGAAACAGUGAGUGGCACGCAUUAGCAAAUCAAUAAAGGGAAACAUCCUCUAUUGCAAAAGCUCAAUGGGGCCGCAUGCUUGUAAAAAGUGGAUUUUUAGACUAAACUUCAAAAUCUUACCCAUGUGAGUUAGAUUCCAUGUUUAGGGGAACCAACAGAAGAAGAUUGUACAAAGAAAGAGAGAAAGGGAAGGAAAAUUAAAGAUUCCUGAAAUGUGCAAGCCAUAUAUGCUCCACAGAAGUUUUUUAUCCAUAAAAGUCUUUUGCUACAAGAUUGAGUGAGUUAUAUAGUUCUACAAAAUUGUCACAACAUGGGCUAAUUGGCCGUCAACUUUAUCGUCUGAGUUAAAUCAUUGAUUCGACUCCAAUUGUCACUAAACAAAAUGUUUAAAUUAAUAUUGAUAAAAUUAUAUUCAUCAGAUCCUAUGAGUCAAUCUAAGUGUGUCAUUUUACUUAAAUUUUACUCAUUUAACCUCCCCAUAAAAAUUAAUUUUUCAGUAAAAACUGAAAAUUGGAUAUAAUCUUAUGGUCUUUUGACAAAAACAAAUGUAUUGGUAUGUUCAAUGUAAAAAAAAACAAACAAACAAAAAUUCAUAAAUUGACUGAAAUUUAAAUGAGAUGAUAACCUUAUCGAUUCCGUCAAUAAAAUUUUAUUGAAAAAGUCCUAAGAUUUAAUUAUUCUUUGCAAACAAUAAACUGAAUCAAUCUUGACUCCUAAGAAACAUCAUACAAUUGAAUACAUAUGACAUGAAAUCAUAAUUAUCAAGAAUCGGACUAGACAUUGAUUCGAUCUCAUCUUUAGUCAUUGGGUCAUUGGUUGAGAUCGAUUGAUCGACUGAUCCUAUCGCAAGUUUAAUAUUUUUUAAAAUAAAAACAAAAAUAUAUUAGAUUAAAUAUAUUGAUAAUAUUAAAAAAAAGUUUAUAAAGAUGAAGUGGUUAUGAUCCCUAUCAACUUAAAUCUGGACAUCAAUCCAGCCAUUUUGUAGCUGUAUCUGUCAGGAUUAUUAAAGACUACGAAUGAAGACAGUAGCAAUUGUGAGGAGAAGAGCUUCGACAUAGGAACAUCCAUCCGUCCCAUGAAGCCAACGUAUUGUACAGAACACGCCUAGCUGCUAUUAUUUUGGCCAUUGUCAUCAUCUCCUUGGAGUAGAAUAGCAUGUAUCCACUCGGUCCCUCGGAUCAAUCGAUGAACUCGUUUGGUUCCCAUGAAGCAUUCUCGUCCAACGAAUACAAAAAGAUCCACUUUCUGGUUCUCCUCUCUCCUCUUUCCUUCUCUUUGCUUCGGUUUCGAGGAACAGAAAGGCAUGAGUUCUGAGCAGGAUGAUCAGCAACGUCGCGGCUGUUGCAGUAGCCUCGCCGGUUUCUUUUCUGUUCUCUCGGAGUCUCAGCACACAAGCAUGCCAAGACUCGAUAAGAAGGUAUCCGACAUCCACAAUUAUGUUUGUGUAUGUCUGUCUCUAUUGCACUGGUUGUUAUAUAGUCUCCUAUUUCUGGGCAAGAUUAAUGAGCUCAAAGAGGAGGUUCGACGACAGAAAGAGCUCAAGGAGACCUACAAAGCCCGGCUCGAGAGGACGCAGGAUUAUCUCAGGUACUGUUUAGAGGUGGCAAAGGAGAAUGGAUUCUUGCACCACAUGUCCGACGAUCAAGAAAGCACUCUCCCCACGCAAACCGACCAUCAGCAGCCAAGUUUACAGGCAGUGGAUGUGGUGCCGAGUGACCCUCGUUUGGCCGCCGUGAUGGAUCAAGCUAAGCUGAAUGGUUGGUACGUUGAACCGGAGGAGGUAAGUGCCGUCGUCUCCUCUUCUUGCACAAAGCUCUUGCUUCAGCAAUUAAAGCUCACAAUUUUUGCUUUUGUAGUUGUAAUGAAUGCAACCAAAAAUGAUCAACCUACACUAAUUAUAAAUGAGUUUUGAAUACUUAAUUUCCAAAAACACAAAAAUCUCGAAUCCGGUCGGUCCUUUGACUCCUUCUUUGUUCAUAUGCUUUAACAUUAAUGACGUCUUGUUCAUAUGCUAGCAGAUAGAGUUGCAUGAACAAAUUGGUAGAGGAACUACUGCCGAUAUAUACCGAGGGACAUGGAGAGGGCUUGGUGUUGCCAUCAAAUGGAUUCACCCCAGCGUCUUCGAUGCCAACGGAAGCGGCCAAGCCUGGUUCGCCGAAGAACUCCACACUCUGUCACGCCAACGCCAUCCCUACGUGCUGCAUCUCAUGGGCGCAUGCUUCCACACGCCACAAAAGGGAUGGCUGGUCACCGAGCUCUUGAGUGGGAAGACGUUAGCGGAAUGGCUGCAUGGGCACAAGGAGAGGCGAAGAGGACGGUCUGUGCCUCUUCCUCCUCUGGCGGAAAGGAUAGAGAAGGGACUGGAGGUCGCCAUGGCGCUGCUGUAUCUUCACCAACAGAAGCCCAGGGUCAUCCACAGGGAUCUCAAACCAAGCAACAUACUUUUGGACGCCGCUACGCACGCUCGAGUCACGGAUUUUGGACAUGCUCGGCUUCUUGCUGACGGAGAGCAAGCUCUCACCGGUGAAAUGGGUAAGACCGACAGACCAUGACUGUCACAGUACACAGUAGUCUGAUUGAUCGAUCGCGUGUUUCGUUUUGGAUGAUGAUUAGGGACUUUCGUGUACAUGGCUCCUGAGGUGAUCCGUUGUGAACCCUAUACGGAGAAAUGUGAUGUUUAUAGUUUUGGCAUCAUACUGAAUGAGCUGAUCACCGGUGAGCAUCCCUACAUAGAGACGAGCUUUGGUCCCGCUAAGGUACGAUUCAUUUACCUGCUCCGGUCCUCGAACGAUAUAUGUAUGUUAACGAUUCCUUCCAAAUAUGUGGUCUAAUCGCCAUGAAUGACUGAGAUCUAGUAGUCUAAUCUGUGCAUUUCUUCAUGGCAGAUUGCGCUCGAGGUGAGUGAAGGCAGGCUUCGGCCAAAGCUGCCCGAGCAUGAUCAUGAAUGCAGAGAGCUCACAGAGCUUAUAUGCUGUUCUUGGAGUGAUGAUGCUUCAGCUAGACCCUCCUUUGCAGCGAUCAACUUGGCUCUUAGGAAGAUCAUUGACAAGUUAAAGUAGUGGCCAAGUCCAAUUUGCAAGGCAUUUUUCUUACUGUUCUACAAGGAGAGGGAGAGGGAGAGAGAGUGGGAGGGAGGGAGGGAGGGUACAGUUUAUAAACUGACAUCAUGACAUGCCAAAUGAAAUAUGGUGCAUCUAUCUACUUCAGUUAGAUUGCCUUCAAGCAUAAGCCAAUACUGUUGCAAGGCAAAUACGAUACUGGUUUAUUUCGCUAAGAAACAAUAUUUCUCUGUUUAACUAACAAGAAAAUCCAAUUUUUAAUCCAUGUCAGUAUAUAAGUAUCAAGAAACCCUUAAACUGCUGGUACAAGAGGAUCAAUUUUCCAUUGGUAAUUUAGCGAAAAGAACCUUUCUGUAUAUAUGUAAAAGAAAUAUAGUGUAGAAUAGUACUUUGAAACAUGAAACAGGGAAACAUUAAAUUACAUGUAACAAGAUUGUUUUCUCCAAGCCAGACAUAUAUUAACACAAUAAAAGUUACUGCAGUAAGUAAAUUAGAAGAUACCCAAGUUCAUUCAAUAGUGAGCAAACCAAGUGUAGUUGGAGAGAGAAGUAUCAUCACAGUUCUAGUUUCAAGAAAACAAACAUAAUGACAAAAAAAUGGCAGUUAAUUACCACAGGUAUGGAAGUAUUGGUACUGGAAAAAAUUAUUGCAGUAUGCCACUAAAAGGUUUUAAGAGCAAUGUUUUUAUUAAUUUGUGAAAAAGUAAGUUCAAGGUUAAAUCACUGCAUAAAUUUUAUCAUGAAGUAAAGCGAACCAAUGGACUAGUGAACCAAGGCUCAGCCGGCUCAAUUCUCAGUCCGGAUUUGAUAACUAAGAUCAUUAAAGAAGUAAAUUGAUCUGAACCUUUUCAUGCAUUCUGCAACAUUAGCAACAUUAGAGUAGAACAAUAUCAACAAUUAGGCUAGGAUUAGGGAACAAAAUACUGCUGAUGCCUCGAGUCAAAAAGUCAAUCUAGUUAUAAAUAUGGGGACACCAUGGUAGGAGACGCAAAUGGAUUUCAAUUUCUCCAAAUGACUUUAAAGAUAUAGUAAUACUAUCAGAAGAAACAAUAUAAGUCAUGAAAACUGCAUUAAUAAAUAAAUCCAACUAACGCACCUGCUCCACAAUUAGCACCGCAAGUACAACACCAACUUUUGUGAAAAGAACACACGAGCUUCCAUGAUCCAGAAUGGAUCAUUUGACAAAGAAUUUAAGUUGUUUAACAAAAAUUCUCAGCUUCAAUGUCUAUAACAGAGAACAGCGCUUCGCUCAGAAUGGUACAUCUAUCUGAUCAAGAAAUAUCUGCAUAGAACUCAGCGAGUUGAAGAUCACUUCUGACUGAUGUAAAAAACCAAACAAUAUCUGAAGGUUGAGAAACCAUGGUGUAUAUUUUUUUUCAUAUGCGAAAGAACCAUAAAUUCUGAAUGAUGAAUUAAUAAACUGAGACCUCAGCAUCAAUAAAAAUAUCCUUGGUCCACUGCAACUGAAGCAUGAUAAAGCUCGAUCCAGAUUCUGGCAGUGAUAACUUUCAAGUUAAAAGUAAAAUGGUGGUUGUAUUAGACCAGAAUUCAUAAUUCAUUCUCCCCGUGUGCAUUAGAAAGAUACGAGAAUCCAGUAACAAUUAUGUACAGAGCUUUCCAAUCAAGUCAAGGAGGUAUUUGCUCUCCAUGGAAGGAUUAACUGUGUCUGUCUUCACAACAGUUAUUUUCACUCGCUGCUCUUCACCAUAGUGUUCUUCCUUGAUUUUGAGCCUAAAUAGGUACUGCUCAAAGAGGCAACGCCGAAUGAUGUCUCCAAACUUUUUAUCAUCAUGCUCUUGAUGUUUUAGCUGAUAGAGCUCCUUCGCGGAGCAACCAAUGAUCUCCUCUCCAGACUCCUGGAAGGCUGUCACCCAAGUCACUCCUGUAUGGUCCUGCACUUGUGCCUGAAGAAGAUACCGAUAAUCACAUUCUUCAAAUUCUUUAGAACAUCUAUCACAGCACCAGUUCCCACUAGCAAGCUUUGUCACCUUCUUAUUACAUGGCCUAUCACCAAUUAGUAAAGGACAAGCUGUGUAACAGAAAUUAUCUGUCUUGAUGAAUGAGAUGGUGGCUUUGACAGUCACCCAGUCAGGCUUAUUCCCCCUUCCAAGACCCUCAUCUUUGAUCUGCGACACGGUCUUCCGGCUAUCAUUUAAAGCAAGCCCAGGCAUCAUAUCUUUAGAAAUGGAGUGGCUGGAAGCAUCCUUUCCUCCUCCAUCAAACCAUUCUCUCAAGAUAUAAGUCUCAGGAAGAUCAGGAUCUAUAAAGAGUUGGGUGGAAGAAAUUGUGCCAACUGACUUACCACUGAAGUCACUAACCUUUCCUGCCUUCACAGCUAAUGCAGGGAAUAAACCAGAACCAAGCUUCUCCUGUAGUUGUCUACCUUCUCUGUUGCAGAAGUCUCCCCAUAAAGUUAGCUCAACACUUCGACCAGACACAUCCUUCAAAUUAAGAAUUCUUCUUUGUGUUUCCAUACCAUUCUUCCUCAGUAUUGUCAUCGAAGGGUUAAUAGAUUCAACAAUCCCAAUAAUAUCGAUGAUUGAAUUGUUCUCUGCAUUCUCUAUAUCAAUGAUUUGUCUGAAAUUAAAAUGUUGUGUUGGAAUAGAGCUGUCUUCAUCUGGACAACACUCCAAAGUUGUUGUCGACUCCAAAAAUAUUUCCCAUUGAUUGUUGAGGUGGUUAAAGUUCUUCUGCGCAGGUUUUAAGCUUCCCUUUGAAAUUAGGUAAAUCUUUCCAACCUCCACAGCUUCAUAGAACCGGUCAACAACAGCGUUGAAACAAGUUGCACGUAUCUCUCCUCCAUCUGAAUCAAGGAGAUCAAAGGAGAACACUUUGCCAUCUCCCUUAGCAUUAUUAUAUCGCCGGAUGUCUCCUUUGGCUGUCACUCUUGCUUUGAUGGCCCAUCGCCCCUGAUAAGGAUUUAGAGCAGCUAUCGGAAUUACCCUAGCAGGUGCUUCAUUUUUCAUGAUUGACCCAUAGCUCUUGUAAUUGGAUGGAGGCCGAUAGACGGAUUGCACAUUGAAGUUCUGGACUUUGUUGCCAGAGUUCAUUGCUGAGCUGGAAACAAGUUUUGCAGCCGGGACUAGUGACUGAACUCUUGAAUUCCCAAAAUUGCUACUAGAUGAUAAGUCAAGAGUCUCUGAUGCAAAUUCUGGAUGUAGUUUGCGAUUCCCAAUAGUCUCACAAUCUCUAAUUAUAAUCUUCAUUUCCAAAAUGACAAUGAUCCUGUGUCAUGACUGGAUCCAUUAUUAGUAAAAAAGUAAAAAAAUCUGAGAAGGCAUAUUUAAACAUAUGAAAUUCUCAGAAAAAGAUGCAUCAUGUAUAUCUCCCUACUAUAUGGGGUUGGCUACACCGACCUUUUUCUGCUAUUGAGUUCUAAUUAAGGAACCAUCAGAAUUAUGGAUGAAAGAAAGAUACAAUUUCUGCUUCAUUUUGAAGAUGAACCAAAAAAUGAUUCAUCUGAACUCUAACAAUAUUUCCACAUCAGACAUACUCUUUCUCCAAUUUGCUCCUCUACAUAUAACGUACUUACCAAAUACAAAAUAAGGACAGAUAUACAUAUAUUUACAAUAAAAGAAUAUAUUUUUUAAUUAUUUUCAGUGCAAUUCAAAAUCUCCAUUUGUAUCAAAGAGAAAGGGGAGAAUCAAAGAAGCGAUCGAUAGACAAACCUCUGGUUCUUGACGGUGCUGCAAACGUACUCCAGCAACUGGACGACGGACCCACUCCUCACCGCGCCGCUCUUUGCGGCCUCAUUGAAUUUGACAGCCAGCAGCGCUUUCUGCGCCGCGGAGCCGUCAGACACCACCGCCCGGUACCGCUCCUGCGGCUCAGCUAUCCGCUUCAAAUCCAGCACCUGCACUACAGGCUUCAGGUCGAGAUCGCCAUCGUUCACCGCCGCGAUCGCGUUCGCCGUCAACCGCGCCGCCAUCCCCCGCGUCCAACUCCCGCCUCACGAGCCGAUAAUCGAGAUGGAAGGCUGGAUCUGAUUCUUGCAGCUCCAAUCGGCGACGAGAAACCGAAUAAUAUGGGCAAGAGCUGGGAAUUCAGGGAUUAGAGAGCUUAGAAAUCGAUAAUUUAGGGCUCGAGGAGAGCCAAUGAGGUAUGGAGGAUAACCGAACACGGAGUUUCUCGGGGCCGUGAUUGUUACGGUUGAAGUGAAUUAAAAACUUAAGCAUAUAUAUAUAUAUAUAUAUAUAUAUAUACAUUCUAAGAUUUACUUUAAAAUAUUAUAAAUAAUCUAAAUAAACUAUUAACAUCUACCAAACUUACUAUGAGUCUAAGAAUAUGAUAUUAUAAUGAUAUAUGAGUAAUGAUAAUCAAUAAAAAUAAUAUAAUAUCACUGAUGAUAUUUUUUAUAAUAUUUACAGUAUUUUUAAUGUAUUAAUAAGAGAUUAUAAAUAUUAAAAAAAUAAUAUAAACGAUCCAAAUAAAAAUAUUGUAACAGUUUCAAUCGGUAAAAAUAAAAAAAUAAAAAAUUUAACAAAAGAUUUUUUGAUGAGUAUUUUUUUAAAUUAGGGGUAUUGUUUGAAAAAAGUAAAAAAAGGGAUGUCUUUUAAAAAAUACUUUUUUUUUAAAUCACACACACACAACAUAUAUAUAUAUAUAUAUAUAUAUAUAUAUAUAUAUAUAUAUAUAUAUAUAUAUAUGGAUACAAAUGCCUAAAAUGUAUUUAAAUAAUUACCUAAAGGAUACAAAUGAAUUUAUAUGGAUACAAAUGUAUUUAAAUAAUUACCUAAAGGAUCUUUUCUAUAAUAUAGUCAUGGUUAAAUGCCUAAAAUGGUAUACACCUUCUUGAUUACAAGUGUAAUUAUGUAGCAUUAUGAUGAUAUAUCGCGUGACGAUGAUGUGUGUGGAAUGAUUCACGUGCUAUAAUCUACCUAUCAAAUAUGAUACUUAUAUAAAAAUCUUAAGUUUCUCGAUUUCUUCCGUUCUAAAAUAUAUUUUGGGUGCUGACCUCAACGUUUAAUGUCUUAUCAUAAGAUAUUUAUUUUGAUAGACUAAAAUAAAUCAUUUAUGUCCAUUAAUAUAUUUGAUUAAUAUGAUUGAUGGUCAUGUUGUUGUGGCAACUCCUCGAGGCUUAUCAGCAAAAUUAAGGUGACGUAAGUAAGUAGACUCAUCGUGUGAGGGGCAUCGAGGUUUGACAUAAAGAAAGACUCAAAUAUAAAUGAUGUCAUUAAUAUCCACUAAUUAAGCAUGGCAAUAUUUGGUAAAAGGAGUGUUGAUGCCACGGUAAAAAUGGCAACAAAGGCAAUCAUCAUAGAGUUAUCCUUCCUUCCUAAGCGACAUGCUAUUGAAAACUUGAGUUGUCCGUAAAUGUAAACAAACGUACACGAGACCAUGGAAUUCGAUGCGUAGGGAUAAAGAUCUAUUACCGAUAACGAGGGGGUAGAACUCGCCGCCUGACAUGGGGAGCACUGACCUGCUAUCACAGGCAUACGAUCGGCGGUGGAGUAACUCGGGUACCCGAUCAUAGUGUCUAUGCCCCUUCUAAUAUUCAAAUAAACACUUAAACACUUUGAUAGGAAAUUAAGUUAGACCCAAUUCCAACCAAAUUAUAUGUUAAUUACGAAAUUUAAGACAUACACUAAGUUAAAUAAAUAUGGUAAGUCUAGGUUUCUUCCGGUGAUCUUCCAGUGAAUUUUUGACGAUCUCUCGGUAAUGUUCCAGCGGACUCCCGACAAACUCUUGGAUUUCACGACGAUCUUCUUAGCGAGUUCCGAUGAGCUUCGUUGGCUAGCUCUUGGAUUUCUCGAUUAAUUCCGACAGAAGUUCCGAUAAACGUCCGGACUUCCGACGAACUCUUGAACUCCCAACGAAAUCUCGUUCUUGACUCUGAGACUUCAUAUUGUUUUAUGCCUUGCUAUCGUAGUUAAUCCUGCACACUAAAACCCAUUUCGAUCUAGACAAUUAUUACAAAGCUUAAAUUAAGUGUUGUCCGGCAUAUCAUUGGUUUAUCGACGCUUCGUCUGAUUAUUCAGCGCAUCGUCCUCUCUUGCGGCCUAUUGCUCAAUCGGUCAGUUGAUCUCCGCAACUCCGAUUUUCUUAACGUAAUUUUCGCUCUUCUUGGUCCGAUGCCUGAACCCAUGGCUCGAAGCCUUCUGCUGUCAAUACAUCGAUCGAUUCUUCGACUUGACGUCCAAUUUUCUAACAUAUUUUUCUUCGGUCCAACAUGAUUCUUCCUACUUUAAUUAUUUUUACCUGAUUAAAGCUUCCUACGUCACUCAAAACACAGAUCAAAUAAACACUCUCAAUUGGUUUCAUCAUCAAAAUCCGAGAUUCAACACUAAUAUCCAAAUAAACCCCGCAAAUCAUCCAAAUCAACGGGCUAUAAUAAAAACCUCGAGUCCAGUUUAUCUAUUAAAUUUGAAAUCAGAUUCAAAAUAAUUAUAAGCGAUUUGGUUCAUAUAAAGUUUUUAUCCGAAAAUCAUUCAAACUAAAAGACUAUAAUGAGUUGAACUAAAAUUGAAACGGAUUGUUUUAUUUUUAAUUUUUUUAAAAAUUAUUUAUUUAUUAAAUUAUUAGAAGAUGCAUAUUCGCUAUUUGGGGUGGGGGGGGCAUUUAAUUGUUUAUAUUUUUGUUAUUCUUGAAACCUAAUUGAUGUCAUCGUUUCUUGAUCGGUUUGAUUCCAAUUGGAUUCUUGAUCGGAUCUACUCUAUGUAUAUAGCUAAAACCAAAACAAGACGGUAAAACGUCACCUCAUAUGUGGCUCUCGAAGAUGAAGUGACAUGAUGAUUGGAAAUAUAAGGCGCAAACUACCAAAGCCGUAUCCUUACAUUCAUAGUUGUCCCCUUUUGAGCCCUACCAAAAUGAUCGCAAUGUGACAACCCAUCGGACUGUGAUGUUUUGUUUGGGUUCCAAAUCGAUGGCCGGACCGGUAGGUUUCCAUCACGAGCGAUCACAUCUUCGUAGAUAUAUUAGUAUGAUAUUUCUCGCAAGUUUUCUUUACUCUCUCUUAAUGUUACCAUCUUUCAUUGACAAGAGAAAGUGAAUUCAUGAUGCAAAUGAUGUUCUAGUUAUCUAUAAAUAUAAAUACGAUAGUGAUCUAAGCAACUACUACUAGUCGAUUAAUAGAUGGGAGUGUUCACUACCUACUUUGAACAACGAAAUAAAUGUGUAGCUAUAUGUGGAAUAUGAAAGAAUAAUAAAAAAUAAUAAUUUAUUGGAGGAGAUAUCAUAUAUUAUUAGGAUUAUUUUUUAGAACAAUGGGUAUGAACUCAUGAAUGUAGGGAGAUUCUACAUCUACCAAACCAAAUAUAUCAAGGUUGGCAUAAUGAUUUCCAAAAUAUUAUUUAGGUUUUUUUUUUUUUUGCUACAUAAUAUUUUGGAAAACACUCAACCCACCUUCUUAAAAGGACUAGAAGACACCUUAUAUUUUGAUGAUUUUUCUUUCUUUUUUGAGUUCUUGAAUGUAUGAUGGCAUAGUGAUUUCCAAAAUAUUAUGUAGGUUUCUUUCUGACUUGUUAAAUAUGGAAUCAGAUGAAAUAGGAUUAUAAUGGAAGAAUAAAAAUAAUAUUUUGGAACCAUUAUUGAACCAUAAAUACUUUGAACUGAAACAUUUCAAUCACUAUAUUCCCAUCCAUCACUUUUAUGUUUCUUCCUUAUGAAGUCUCAACACAUUACCAUUCUUUUCUAAAGUUCCUAAUUGGAUACAAAACUAAAAGUUUCUUGGAAACUUUAUUUUCCUGGUCCACUAUAAGCUUAUUUCUUUUAUUAGUUUAUUGGUCACUGUCAUUCCAUUUAAAUAAUAAACCCUUAGAUUCUUAUACUCUAAUGCUAUAAAGAUGAUCUAAAAGCAUAGUGCAUAUAUGAGGCAGACCUUAUUAAUUAUUAGGCAUGUGAUGUGUGUAUUCCCUAAAGGCAGAAACAUGAUGUAGUUCAAGUGCUUUGCAUGAUCUGCACUUCUCCUUCACAUGCAUGAAUGAAUGCCUGAAUUCUCGUUCAAAUGCUUAAGGAAUGAGCAACAUUUCCACUUUGCGAUCGUAUUAUUAAUCGUCAUCAUACGUAAUUAAGUGAUGUAUUCUUUCCUUUUUCUACAAAUAAUAAGUUAUAAAGGUAGAAUUCAAGUUCAGAAUCUUGCGAUCGAUCAUUAAAGUCUUUAACAGCCAAACUAACGAUCAUUUUGAUCCCUUUUUUUUCUUUAUUCCGAUAUAUACUGUGAUGAAUUAUCUUUGGAGACAAUCUUUCUGAGUUAAGAUACUGUCAAGAGGCAAUGGUUUUAGGUCCAAUUCAGCCACUCCUCCGUAUCAAAGAAGGAAGCUACUGAAGUGAAGCUGAAAUCGAUGUCCGGCUGAAAACAAUCACUCCCGAUCCAGUCUUCCAUGGACGGCAUAUCGAGCAAGAGAGUGCUGUUGGGAGACAUGCUAAAACAGACAGCCUCGUCUUCUUCUCCUGGUACUAGGGGAACGCCGUCAAGAGAAACAUCACUUUGAGGAGCUUUGGAGGGGCUGGUGGGUUCGGCCGUCGUCGAUUCAUGACGCUGGUGGUCGAUUGGAGCUGGCAGGAGUCCUUGGUCCUGGUGGAAGAACGUUUUGGUGCACCUCUGGGCCUUGGUUUGGACGACGGAUGCAUCUCCAGCUGCUCCCGUUCCCGCCGUCGUCGAAUCGGCCAGGGAGACAUUCAGGAUGGGCUUCGUUUGGGAUGCGUUGCCGUGGACUUUCUUCCCUAGGGUUGUGUUCCAGUAGUUCUUGAUUUCAUUGUCUGUUCGCCCUGGCAGCCUUCCUGCGAUUAGAGACCACCUGGGAAAGAGAAAACAUGGCAUUUCUGGAUGAUCCAAUGUCUAACCACGCUCUUCUUUCAAUGAUUCGCAUUUCACGACAAGGUUUUAGGAUGUUUGGAGGUUGAAGUAGCCGUAAGGAGGAGGAUACCUGUUUCCAAGGAGCUUGUGUAGUCUGAUGAUGAGCUCUUCUUCGUCAUCGGAUAUGUUGCCUCGCUUGAUACCGGGCCUCAGGUAGUUGAGCCACCGCAGCCGGCAGCUCUUUCCACAGCGCUUUAAGCCUGGCAAAUUUGCGUUCAUGAGAGAGAGAGAGAGAGAGAGAGAGAGAGAGAGAGAAGAGUGUGUUGUUGUGUGCACGUCGACAGGCUAUUAGUUGGAAGCAACACAUCAAUUCUAUCCCAGUCUAGCAUAGAAGUGCACCUGCUCGUUUGGGGAGGCUCCUCCAUUUACCGUCUCCAUGAACCUUGAUGUAGGACACAAGUACGUGGUCUUCCUGCGCAGUCCACGCUCCUGUCCUGAGCCCUUCCCUUACGCAGCAUGGCUUCCUUCCCAUCUCUCUCUCUCUCNNNNNNNNNNNNNNNNNNNNNNNNNNNNNNNNNNNNNNNNNNNNNNNNNNNNNNNNNNNNNNNNNNNNNNNNNNNNNNNNNNNNNNNNNNNNNNNNNNNNNNNNNNNNNNNNNNNNNNNNNNNNNNNNNNNNNNNNNNNNNNNNNNNNNNNNNNNNNNNNNNNNNNNNNNNNNNNNNNNNNNNNNNNNNNNNNNNNNNNNNNNNNNNNNNNNNNNNNNNNNNNNNNNNNNNNNNNNNNNNNNNNNNNNNNNNNNNNNNNNNNNNNNNNNNNNNNNNNNNNNNNNNNNNNNNNNNNNNNNNNNNNNNNNNNNNNNNNNNNNNNNNNNNNNNNNNNNNNNNNNNNNNNNNNNNNNNNNNNNNNNNNNNNNNNNNNNNNNNNNNNNNNNNNNNNNNNNNNNNNNNNNNNNNNNNNNNNNNNNNNNNNNNNNNNNNNNNNNNNNNNNNNNNNNNNNNNNNNNNNNNNNNNNNNNNNNNNNNNNNNNNNNNNNNNNNNNNNNNNNNNNNNNNNNNNNNNNNNNNNNNNNNNNNNNNNNNCGUGCCACAUGCAAGGAUUGGUGUUCAGCACUCCUACCCGUUGUCAUCCCGUCCCCGUGGAUCUUCUUAGUCGGCAAGAACAGCGAUACCUGCAACUUCUUGUCUUUCCCCACCAGACGCUCCUUCACCUACUCCCUUCUCCCUGAGCUCCACGGCGUGCGGUAUGUGGGCUCUCAAGCUGGUUGGCUAGCAGUCUACAAUGAAAACCUGGAUGUCAGCCUCAUAAAUCCUCUAACAGCGGCUCGAAUCUGCCUCCCCUCCUUCCUCACCCUACCCAAUUUUGAGCUCGUCGGCGGCAGCUGUGUCCUUCCUCAUCUCAACCGAAUCUCCCGUUUUUUUGUUUCGAAAGUUAUCUUCUCCGCAAAUCCAACUACCCAUAAUUACAUCGCGGUGAGUCUCUAUGGCACUCCCCAAAUUGAAAUCGCCUACGCAAAAGCAGGCGGAGACAAGUGGAAUCUUCUUCAGACGACAUCGACUCAGAAUCGUUCAUACGAGGAUAUCAUGUACCACAAUGGGAAAUUCUACUGCAUAACAGGUGAAGCCGAAGUCUUCGCUUUUGACCUCAGUGGAGUUUCUCCCACCGUGACGGUGGUCGCCGAGAGAACGUCACUCGGUUUGACAUAUUUCGACUAUCACAUUCCUUGCUUCGGUGUCAUACAAAUUUACGGCAAAUACUUGGCGUGCUCGAGCACCGGGGAGCUGUUCCUGAUUUUUAGGCGCGAAGUUCACUGUCAUGAAUCGCUGGGAUGGAAGGGUAUCAUGGUUUGGAGGUACAAUCCUCAGCGUCAGCCAUGUUGGGAAGCUGUGAAGAACUUGGGGAAUAAGUCCUUGUUGAUCGGUAUCAACAACGCUAUAUCGAUUUCUACCGAGAAUUUUCGAGGUGUACGACGAGAUUGCGUCUACUUUAUGGAGGCGCUGGUCAGAACCAUAGUCGAUGACCGGCCCGAAUUCAUUCUUAGAAUUGGAGUGUUUGAUGUGGAACGGGGAAUGUGGGCGCGGGCAAACUAUCAGUUAGAAUCACACUCGCAGCCACCCAUCUGGUUCACUCCCUCCAUGCUGUGAACCAAGAAACGAGUAGUUCUUGCUCUUAUUUGACUUACAACUCCUACUACUACAUAUAGAGAUGAUAGAUACAUUACAGGCCACAGUAACUAUAUCAACUUGUGCUUUGAUAUUGUGCACAAGAAAAUGUUUUGCUUGAUUUAUGAAGUUGCACAUCUGUUUUACAAGUUUGAUAUGACCAUAGAAGAUGAAAGCAAGUUUUCCUUCAAGAGGAAACAACAUAAAGAAACAUGUAGAUGCCUUUUGCUCUUAUAUGAAAUUUUGAUUUUGAGUGAUUUCUUUAUGGCCUUAUCAGUCAUCAUUAGUUGUGGGUAUCACUAGAAUUAGUGAUUGAUUUGAGAUCCUAUACCUGCAGGUACUAUUUGAUGAGGUUACUGUAAUGAAUUAAAUAUGAAAGAAUUACAUCAUCUAAUUGGAAAUAAAGAAAAAUAGUUACUUAAUACCACAUGUUGCUGAAGACAGAUCUUACUUUGAAAAAGAUAGUGACUUGUGAUGUGUGAAUGAUAUUAUGCAAUUUGGUGAAAAAAUAAAGGACCCAAAAUCUUGAGAACUGCAGGAGAAGAAUUUAUCGGAUGAAAAAUAUUAAUGAGAUAAAUCAAACGUGCAUAUCCAUUUCUUGUCGCACCUUAUAUUUUAUAAAUAUUAAAAAGAUAAUUAUCGAUACUUGUCUUACCGCCUUACUACACUGUCGCUCUAUUGUGAUCGUUUCCGUCAAUCGUCUCCACCCUGCUAUGACUGUCUCAUUGCGCUACAUUGUGGGCUCACCUUUGCCACCAAGAGGUCCCGUAGCGAGACCUUCGUUGUCGUCCUCGUCACCUUCGUAUUAUUAUGAGACCAAAGUCAUCUCUACAUAGCCACAACUAUUAUUUGUGAAGCCCCCCUCCACAAGGCCCUAGCCUUGCCCUCGUGAAGCCUCCAUCCCCAGCAUCUACAUCCCAUGUUAUUGUUCUUAUCAUCCAUUUGUUCUCUAAGGACAAAGGAUAGGGAGGAGGGGAUGGGGUGGUCAUUGACGUUGCAAAAGGUGACGAGGUAUGGUCGUCCGUGAUGCCCAUAGUCUCACCCUCGACUUUCCAUUGCACUCUUCGAAUGCAUCAUGCCUUAUCUCCUCUUAUACCGCCAACUCUCGUGCCCUCUAUCAUAGCUUUUUCCCUUCACCCAUUUUCAACAAAUAUCUAUUCUCUUUUUCUCUUGUGAUCUUCUCCCUAUGCACCAGCCUACCCUUGCCCACUUUCACCAUAGUACCAUGCUCACAUCCUUCAUCGUCAUCACCACAUCUAACUUCUACUAAAGAGCCCAACGAGGAACUAUUUGACCUAAGAUUUUGGUCCUCUCUAACAAGCCCUCGAGCAAGAAGCACUAGGGACCAUCAACAUCACGAUCGACAUCGAAGAAUAAUGCACUGGGGCCUCUUUGCCACCCAUAAGAACUACUAUCGACUCGCCUCCAAGCCAUUGGCCAACUCAUAUACUUGUGCUUCGAUGAGCGCUCCACAAGAGGUGGCAAAGGGAUUUUGUGGAGGGGCAUCGGGAAUGGAGGUGGUGACCAUGUGGAGGGUUGGAGGUGACAUUGCGAAGGUGACAAAGGUGACAACGAUAAUGACAAGGGCCUCACAAUAAUAGAGAUGACUCGUAACAUGACGAGAUAGUGGGGAGAGGCGAAGAUAACCACAGUAGGAUGACAAUCGAAAAGGCGAAGAUUAGGAGUAAUCUCAUCUUUUAAAAAAUAAGGGAUAUUUUAUGAAAUAAAAAAAAAGCAGAACACUCUAUAAAAAAAAAGUAAAAACUUAGGGUUUUUUUUUUUUUGAAGAAUUUAUCCUUCUUUUAAAAAAAAAAGAUUUUAUAAAUAAAAGCUAAAUGAGUAUAAUACAAUCAUCCUAGUUCCCAUCACACAGCAAACUAGAAAAUAUCAAGACAGGAAUUUAAUUUUUCCAUCCAAGAGCAAUGAUAUUAUCUGUAAGUUGCUUAGUUUUGUAAGAGUAUAUAAGCUAAACCUAAACACAGAGGGAUAAAUAUAAAUACUAAAACUAGAAGGUUUUAUACACGUAGACAACUCUGCCGGCAACUUAAUUCGCUGCAGCUCCACGUGGAAUACACCUCAAUUAAUAGAUACGAUCCCUUUUUUUUUAUGGCUUUCAGCUUUGAAAGGGCAAUUAUCCUUAGCAACUGUUUAGCAUUUUGUAUUUUGAAUUAAUAUAGCUUUUGCUUUAUGAACCCCCAAAAAAAAACAAAAUACCGUCACCAACAGCAAACAGUAAUCUCACACGUCUUAAAGCUUAAAAUCUCACCUUCAACACUUAUCUUUUGUCAAAUAAAAAAAGUCUCGUUUUCCUUCAGUAUUAUCUGCUACUCUACAUUAAACAUUAUAAUGGAACACUUACUACUUGUAAAACAAUAAUUCUCGUUAUCAUUAGCCAUUCCAUUUUACAUUAAAUUCAAAAUUUGCAGAUUAGCGAGGUCAACUAUAGAAAAUAUUGGAGACCUGAAUCAUCCCCUUUCCACUCAAACAAACAAAAAGAAACUUGGUAAUAUGCAAGGUUUUGUGUGUAAGCCAAUCUAAGCUGUAUAUGUUCAGACUUUUCCUCUUAGCAAGAUGUAACAUAUAUCAUCCUUCUGGCACAAGUCUGCUUCGAAGUUAAAUUGCAUCCGUUUAAGGUAGCAUCGUUUCUAUUUUUAUAAGAAACCGGACAUGAUCAUUCAAAGAUGUGCUGUGCAAGCCGCAAUAUUUGCCAAUGGCUUCAUGGUCUUACCUAUGUCUUGUAUCUAGAAUUGCAGAUACUGGAUAAGACAUACCUCAGGUGGCUUCAGUUCCCUCCGUCUUCAAUGUUGUUUGAUCCACAGCCUGGACAUGUGCACUUCUUCUGCAAGUCCUCCCCAAGAGAAGCAUAUACCUUCUCCAACUCAGAUGUCUGCUUUUUAUAGUUAGGGAAACAUUCUGAAAUAUGUAGCGGCCUCUCCCUCUUCCAAUGGUUGAGUUAUCAUCAGGUUGAUAGGCACUACUGCAUGUUGUAUAUAGAACAUGCUGCAUACGCUUGCUGUGCAUGUUAACAUAAUCAUAAAACCAAACCAAGAAGGAUAUUCAGCUAGUUCCUGCAGCUGCUUCGUUUCUUCCAUGAUGGCUGUCACAAGAAACCAUCUCCUUUCAACAUGGGCAAGCUGUUCACAAACCUGCAAGAAUACACGUAAGAUAAAUACUUCCAUUAUUUAUCAUGUAUUACAUGAUUCAGACACCUAACACAAAAUUUAAUGGCCUAGUUUAGUAAAUUAAAAUCCUAGCUUUGUUUAUAGAAGCUUCAAAUAUAAGUAGCAGACUCCCAGAAACUUACGAUAUCUUAUGUCAUAACAAGCAUCAUCAAUUUCAAAUGAAAUAUGAGCUAGAAAUGUAGAAAUCAUCUGCAAGUGGACAGACUCGAUAUGCAGAAGCAAUGACCAUAAAGCCACCAGAAACAUUUUAUAUAUCAUAAUGAUUGAACCACAUAUUCAGUUGUUAAAUCUGUUAUGUUUCUCAAAAAACAUUGGAGAGUUGACAAGAUAAUGAGAAAAUUUCCCUGGAUAUUUCUUGAACUAGGAAAAGCGUAAGAUGACAUAGGAAAAUACAGUCUAACAUCUCUUGCUCAUUAGAUGACACCAAUGGCAUUUGGACUAUGAGAAGAAAGUCAAUAAUAGUUAAUCUAGCAAAUUUAUUCAUUUAUAACACUUGCUAACCAUGAAGGUUAAGCAGAUAACUAACCAGUUUCAAAAGAGAACAUAAAAGUACUGAGGUAAAACCAUUAAUCAAGACCAGGUUGCAAAACGAUAUACUGGAUUGAUGAUGAUGUCGCAGGUUAUUCAAUCAUCUGAAUUAGUAAAAAAAUAUACUCUAGGUUGUCUAAUUAUAAAUCCUACAACAAAAACAUGUUAGAACCAUAAACGAAAGUUUUGUUGCUGCCUAUGAUGAGAUAAAUGAACCAAGCCCAAAUAUGUUAAACAGAAAAGCUAUCAUUCUCGUUAAUAGCAAGAAUGAAUGGAGGGAGAUUAGCAUCCUUGUUCCACAUUGAAACAUCAAAUUCUUUUGAAGCAACCAUGUGCAUGAUCUAAACAGAAAACAUGUAGUACCAGAGUCCAAUCUAUAUGUUAGAGUUGAAUGCCAGAUAUCUAGUACACUUGUGAGUAUCAAAAGGUCUUCUAGAAAGAUAUGGAAAGAAGAAAAGAAGAGGAUACACUCUACUUAUCUUUUCAUAUCAUGCCUGGUCUUUUUUAUACCAAUUAAAUGUCAAGUUAUAGAAGUAUUCAAAAAUGAAAUUUCUCAAUGUUCACCCAUUUUGAUAUAGCAAGUACUUUUAUUUGGUUCAAAUGUAUUUGGGCUCAUCUAUAACCAUAUAGUAUAUGUUUUAGUACAACUUGAACUUCAGUCACCACUGAAACAGACUCAUUGGUUUUGGAAACAUCUGAAACAGGAGAUGGGCUACGUUUUGGAUAUAACUGCUUUGUGAGGCUGUAUAAAUGACAUAAAGGAGGAUUUCGCUAAUCAUCAUCAUUAUAACAAAAAAAAUCAAAUACAAGUCUAAUAAUUAAUUAUUUUGUUUAAUAUUUAAGGUCUCAAACACAAAAUAUAGGUCCACUUGAAGCCCUUGGUCUUAUUUUAAUAUUAUUUAUUUACAUGGGCUAAUAUUGUGUUCGUUUUUGCCAAACACUAUAUGUGUUUUUUGCUGUUGGUCUAUAUUAUUUAAAAUCUGAUAAUUUAAAAUCAGCAAGCUGGACACCCAGUAGUUAACUAAAUUCUUGGUCUGUUGGUUGGAGCAAAGCAAGUUGAUCGGUUGCCCUCCUAAGUGGCCUUUUAAACUAGCAGAUGGGUUGCCGUUCAUAUAUAUUCAUUCUGCCUAGCUAAGGAGGCUGAGUGCCCACUCCAGGAACUGAUCACAUAAGAGCACGCUUUUUAUGAAAAAGAUAGUAAAGCUAGAAAAUCACCUAGGAUUAAUGAAAGUCUAAUAUGAUUAAAUUACGGUAUGUUUGCUUUAUAAAAGCCUUUUUACCUUGUUUAUAAUGCUCUAUUGUCUUUUUUGCUGAUUUACCAUUAUUUUCCAGCAAUGAAGAUAGGGGUUCCAUAAGUACUGAAAAUUACAAAAUUUCAACAAUCUAGAACUUCAAGGAAAAACAGACACAGAGUGACUAGCACAGAUUAGUAUAGCAUGCACAUUUUUAAUCUUCUCAUUCAUGGGAAUUAAUACAGAAAAAAAGAAAAAGAAACAAAAAACUGACCUUAUCACGAUUAUGUCUUUCUUUUUCGUACUCUGCUUCCAACUCAUGCAUCUGAGUGCUGAGGCAUGUAAUGUUAUCUUCAAGACCUUUUAGAAAGCCUUGCAUAUCAAGUAAUUUUGUGUUUUAGAGUCUGUUUUGCCUGUUUGAAUGUUUACAAAUAUAUAUACCAGAUUAAUAGUACUGGUAGUUCUGUUGUUUGAUCAUGAGUUUGAUCACAGAAAGUAUACUGGCGAACCCAGUUUAGUUGGCAAACCUUGGCAGCAGGUACUACCAAGCUUUAGAUAAAUAAAUAAUAAGCUAAAUAUUUCUGGUUAGUCAGUGCCCAAACAUCAAAGUAGACUCUACUGAUAAAUUUUCUGCAUUGGUACAAGACUUACAAGCUCUAAAUUUCAAUUUUAUAUGGACUUGAUAAUUAUGCUUUAUCAACAAAGUUGUUCCCAUAUAGAUGAGAUAAAAGCAGCUAUUUGUAUUUAUUCAUGUUCAUUUUAAGACAAUGGCAACAUAAUGUAACAUUGUGUUAUAUCCUUACUUUAAACAUGUGUUGGGAGCAUCACUCUGCAGGGUAACUACCCAGCCAAAUGCAUAGGUUGGCCCAAACAAAUGAUGAGGUAAUAAUGAAUUUUCAUUUAAGUCAAUUACAUUGCCAUUUUCAAUUUUUUUUCAGGCAACUAGACAAACAUAAGCUCUAUAAUAAACCUAUUUGUUCUGGAUAAGUUUACUUUAUUUGGCCUCAUUGCGAAUGCAUGCAUGGCUUAUUAUGCACCUUUGAUAAUUAUAUGUUCAGUGAAAAAACAAAAAUAGUUUAGUUUAGGAAUUUUCAAGAUGUUUUAAUAGUCAAAAUUAAUCAUAUGCAUCUGAAGGACUUCAGAAAUUGUAUCUUUCAUGAAACUUUAGUAAACAAAGAUCCAGAAGAAAAUUUAUAAGAAGAUCUGGAAGGAUUUUACCAGAUGAAGGGUUCAGAUCUAGUUAUAAGUUUACAGGUUGUUUUCCUUGUGAAGAAAGACCAGAAUAUAUCAGAUGAAUCAAAUCACAAAUGAAUUCUGAAUUCUGUAACUUUUCGGUAUUGAUCUUGAACACNNNNNNNNNNNNNNNNNNNNNNNNNNNNNNNNNNNNNNNNNNNNNNNNNNNNNNNNNNNNNNNNNNNNNNNNNNNNNNNNNNNNNNNNNNNNNNNNNNNNNNNNNNNNNNNNNNNNNNNNNNNNNNNNNNNNNNNNNNNNNNNNNNNNNNNNNNNNNNNNNNNNNNNNNNNNNNNNNNNNNNNNNNNNNNNNNNNNNNNNNNNNNNNNNNNNNNNNNNNNNNNNNNNNNNNNNNNNNNNNNNNNNNNNNNNNNNNNNNNNNNNNNNNNNNNNNNNNNNNNNNNNNNNNNNNNNNNNNNNNNNNNNNNNNNNNNNNNNNNNNNNNNNNNNNNNNNNNNNNNNNNNNNNNNNNNNNNNNNNNNNNNNNNNNNNNNNNNNNNNNNNNNNNNNNNNNNNNNNNNNNNNNNNNNNNNNNNNNNNNNNNNNNNNNNNNNNNNNNNNNNNNNNNNNNNNNNNNNNNNNNNNNNNNNNNNNNNNNNNNNNNNNNNNNNNNNNNNNNNNNNNNNNNNNNNNNNNNNNNNNNNNNNNNNNNNNNNNNNNNNNNNNNNNNNNNNNNNNNNNNNNNNNNNNNNNNNNNNNNNNNNNNNNNNNNNNNNNNNNNNNNNNNNNNNNNNNNNNNNNNNNNNNNNNNNNNNNNNNNNNNNNNNNNNNNNNNNNNNNNNNNNNNNNNNNNNNNNNNNNNNNNNNNNNNNNNNNNNNNNNNNNNNNNNNNNNNNNNNNNNNNNNNNNNNNNNNNNNNNNNNNNNNNNNNNNNNNNNNNNNNNNNNNNNNNNNNNNNNNNNNNNNNNNNNNNNNNNNNNNNNNNNNNNNNNNNNNNNNNNNNNNNNNNNNNNNNNNNNNNNNNNNNNNNNNNNNNNNNNNNNNNNNNNNNNNNNNNNNNNNNNNNNNNNNNNNNNNNNNNNNNNNNNNNNNNNNNNNNNNNNNNNNNNNNNNNNNNNNNNNNNNNNNNNNNNNNNNNNNNNNNNNNNNNNNNNNNNNNNNNNNNNNNNNNNNNNNNNNNNNNNNNNNNNNNNNNNNNNNNNNNNNNNNNNNNNNNNNNNNNNNNNNNNNNNNNNNNNNNNNNNNNNNNNNNNNNNNNNNNNNNNNNNNNNNNNNNNNNNNNNNNNNNNNNNNNNNNNNNNNNNNNNNNNNNACUGCUCCGUUGUGUCAUUGCUUCCUCCCCUCUGUACAGAACUUCCUUUUCCUCCUCCGUUUCUCUUCCAUGACUCCUCCACUUUCCCUCCUUCGCUCUCCAACUCCUCUUCCUUCCUCUUCCUCCUCCCCUCUUCUCUCUCUCUUUCUGUUUGGUCACUGGUGACCAAAAUGUCAGUGUACCAUAUGUUAGUAUGCUAGUACAGAUGGGACCCGUGCCAACCCAGCCAGUGAUUGGUAUAAGUCUCACACAGAAACUAGAAACUUUACCUUCUUCCCUUCUCCUUCUCUCUCUCAUUUUGUUUAGUCCGUGCUGACUGGUACACUAAUGUACUAUGUAUCAGUAUGCUAACAUAUACCUAACCCAACCAAUCCCACCUAACUACCAGUAGAGGUCUCGAACCAAGACUUAAAAUAUUGACCAAUAUAAUUGCAAAUGCAAAUAAUAAAAGUAAAAGAAAGCCCAUGUUUUAUAAAGGAAAUUUUAAUCUAGUUAACAGAAUGGAAUGUCUAUUAUGCAUUAUGACAUAACAUUCAACAGAAUACACACAAGUUGGCUUUGUCAUUGCUACAUUGUUGCUUAACUCCAUUAUCUGCAUUCAAUAAAAUAUACACAAGCUGGCUUUGUUAUUGCUACAUUGUUGCUUUACUCCAAGACUGAGAAAUUAUUGUCUUAUUUAAGCUUCCAGAUCAUAGGGCACAUAUCAUUGCAAAGCAUCAUUACAAUGUGGUUUUUGCACACCCUCAAUAACAAAUUGUAUUCUCUUGGAUUUAUCAAGAUAUUUGACACUACAGAAUAGGUUCCAAGUACUUGAACAUUGGUAAAUGGACCAGAGGAAUAAUAUAGGAAAGCUUACAGAAAAUUGAUUAGGUCCUUUGUAGGAUUACAUCCAAUAGGAAAAACAAAUCUGAAGGAUACCGACAAUAUAUAGAAGAACUUUGGACUUUGGACUUUGGACUUUGGUGUUGCAUAAACUGGAUUAAUUCAACUAUAUUAACACUUAUUUUGUAAAUCAGGCUUGAGAGUUUGUGCUCAUCUUCCUUUUUGUCGUAUCUGUAUGUACUGAAAUAAACUAUACUUGAGAUAAAAAGGCACAAGGGAACUCUAUCAUAGUAGGAAUUUUUCGGAACAGAUACCUGAAGUUACAAUCAGCAUUAUUUUAUUCUUAGAAUCAGCAUUUUGUAAAAUAGCAAGAGCAUCAAGAAAGAAGAGGGAAUCUAUCUCCAGAAUAAAAAAUUGUCAGAAACACCAUUCAUUAAUAUAGCAUCGAGUUCUGAAAAAUCAUCCAGUGGUUAUCCAGAUCUAAUUCCAAUAGUCCCAAGAACUAACUCCAAAGAAACAGAGUGCUGAUUGUAGCUGCCAGACCUUGGUGGGCUUAACUGACUAAAGCUAACCCACAGCAGUUCAUCAAUCCUAAGUGCAAAAUGGUCCAGAGUGGUCCGUGCUGCAGCCAGCAGUGCUGAUUUUGACCAAUCAGAACCAUUUCUAGUACAUAUUGGCUGUUCUCAUCAGCAUAGCAUAUGAGAACAAUUUCCCAUUUGAAGUUUUCUUAAUUUUUUCUUUUCUUAAUUUAGUAAAUUUUCAGUAAGACAAACACAAGGAUCAAUGGUGAGAAAAUAUUCAUGUAGCUGACUCCAAAUGGUUGGAAAUACAGUUUGUUCUACAAGUGGUUGCUGUCCAGUAAGACAGAUAUAUUCAUCUACAUUUAAGACUUGUGAUAACUUUGUAGUCAUGUUUACUGACGUUUUCAAAAUAUAUGGCAUUUUACUAGUUCGACUACUGACCUAUCUUCCCUUGGAUGAAAUUGUGUGCUAAACAUUUUGACUUUAUAGUUCUUUUUAAUAUUUGACAUUGCAAGUAAUGAAUCAAAUAUAGAAUCUGUGCAAAGCUCUAUUGACACAGGAUCCAAAUAAAAGUAAGGGGCAAGAAUGGACCAAGCACAUUAAAGAUGUAUAGCUAGUCAACUUCACACGAAUGUUUGGGAAGCUACACCUUCUACAGAAGUAAAAUAAUAUGCCAACAAUGUGAUAAAUCAUACAGCUGUUUUAUGUAGCUGAAAUUUUAACCGAUGUGGCCAAGAUGAAAAGGCAUGAGCAAAGGUCAAAAUGUAAAAAUGCCUGGAAUAGUGCAAAACUUAGCUAAGGAGUUUGGAACAAAAAGAUCAUAUACAAGUAAACAAAUAAGAAAACUAAACAAAUGAAAGUAAAAGCACGUUGGAAUAGACCUUAUUUUCUUGUUCAGCUCGCACAUACUGUUAACAAAUUCGUCUCUGCAUCCACAUAAAGAUCGUGAUUGAGUUUAUACAGUUUUUAGUAUAUCGCACAAGAACAAAAAACUAGUAUUACCGCAUGAAACGCACUUCACUCUGUUCACCGAUGCCAGGUGGAUUAAGAAGAUCAAAUAACAAGGUCAAAGUUCGAAAACAAAGAAUGACAAUAACGAAAGAAAAUCUAACAACAUUUGAGAGCACGAGAGCGAUUCUCACCUUGAGUGUAUCCAGAUCAGAACGGAGCUUCAAUAUCUCCUCCUGCAGCAGAGAAAUCCUCGCCUACGCACGAUAGUUACUAUUAGAAAAGGAUUUACAAGAUCAAUCGGCAACUAGAAAGGACGCGUAAUCAGAACCUCUUGCGCAUGGAUUGAUGCACCAAUCAUAGAAAGCUGAACCUGCGAUCCCCUCAGCUCCUGCUCGACCAUCUCCCUGGACCGCUUGGCCCCAUCGAGGUCGGCAUUUGCAACAUUGAGAUCGUUCUGAAGUUCGAGGAGCCGCUUCUUACGAUCGGACACCCUAAGCUCUGUGUCGAAGACAUGCGGAUUGAGCGGGGCGCAUCGGAGCUAGAGUGGAGGCACGAGAAGCAUGGAGCGGCCAUAGUGUACCUUCUUGGGAUUUCUCCGAGGCGAAAUUGCGGAUCAGCGAGAGGAGAUGUUUCUGGGAUUCGCCGGACGCCAUGGCGAGAAGGCGCCCCGAGGGCUCGGAGAUGGCAGCCUAGCUUUUUGGGGAACAGCACUCGUCUCCCCCUCUUUGGUUCGAGCUUCAGCACGUGAAGAGAACGAAGGAGAACAUAAGCGCGCAUCGGCUCAAACUCGAGCUCGUUUUUGACUCGGAUCGAACUCAAACACGAAUUGAAUUGAUCGUUUUGACUCAAUAAGAGUUAUUAAAAAUAUUAUAUAGUAAAAAUUUUGGAUGAUAAUUUGAUUAUUAUUAUUUGUUAAUUUCAGAAUAAUCUGGUCCGUCAAUCCAGCUAUAACAAAUCAUUGAUUGACAUCUCAACUCAAAUAUCGGAGAAAAUAAAGUAUCAAUUAGGCAUGUCAUAUUGGGUAUAAAAAAAUAUUCUUUAUUAAGUUUGUUUACAAAUCAAAUAUAUACAAUAAUUUUUUUAGUUAUAUUAUCAUUUAAAACUCACUAAACUUAUUUAAAUACUCAGACUUCUUAAAAAUAUUUAUCAUAAAUUAAAACUAACUUAAUUAUCAAAGGAAUCUUAUUGUAGAUUUUUUUUUACCCUUAAAUCGAAAUAGGAUAUUAGAUACAUAUAUUUUAUUAUGCUUCGAAAUGAAGGCAUGCCAACUACGAUAUUCAUUUAGGAGUCUCAACCAGUGAUACUUGCGUUUGAACAUAGCUAAGUGGUGCUUUGAUUACUUGUUUUUAUCUUAACAAAUAGAUUAGGGGCAAUAGGGAUGCUUUGGCUCUAGUCGAUCAUGUUAAAUACUUUGACUAUUUUAUAUCGUAGUUACACUCUACACAUCAUAGGCAAAAGGGACACAACGAUUAUAUUAGGUGCUCAUAUGCUCAUUUGUCUUGAGUGAAUACAUCAUAAUAAAAAAGGAUAUGUUAGUUUAUUGAAUAUUUAAGAUAUUUUUUAUUCACAAUAGACACUUAUAUUACGUGCAUUUUAAAUAAUUUUAUUUUUCUAAUAGAAGUAUCACAAAGGAGAUGCAUUGGCCAUAAUCAGAUUUUGUUUUUGUUUUUGUCAAUGACAAAUACAUGAAAAUGAGAUGGUUCAAUCCUGUCAUGCACUUCAAAUUAUUUCUUUAUCAUACACAGAUGUAUCACAAGUGCACCUGCUCGUUUGGGGAGGCUCCUCCAUUUACCUUUUCCUUGAACCUUGAUGUAGGACACAAGUAUGUGGUCUUCCUGCGCAGUCCACGCUCCUGUCCUGAGCCCUUCCCUUGCACAGCAUGGCUUCCUUCCCAUCUCUCUUUCUCUCUCUCUCGUUUGAAAGAAGCUUGAUUAGUUGUUGGCGACAUCUAUAGGUCCUCAACUGUACGAGACAAUUUCUCUGAUCACCGUAUGAUAUUAAUUGUGAGGAGCCAUCGCUGACAUUACAGCACCCCUAUCGAGUCGACGUCGAGAAAAAUUCUUACUGUCUGAUAUCACACAACUGCCAAAUUUCUCCUCGUAUGUGGCAGUCCCCCCUUUCCAGAUCCUAGGCGGAUCUGCCCCCCCACUUGUCACCCACAGUCGGUCGUUCGACGACAGCUUCCCUGCUUCCAGUCUCAACCACGGCUACCGCACCAAGUUCCAAGCCUACGGUGCCACGCCAAGCAUUUGUUGGGCCCAGUCAACGCAUUUGGUGACUUUGCAUCGCGGGAGCAUGCACUCUUGGUUCCUCCUUAUUGCAGAAUUUUUUUUUUUAUUCUUCCUCCCUCCUUACCGUAGAAAAGUACCAACACUUCUUUCUUUUUAUUUUUCUUCCUCUUUAUUGUAGAACUCGUUGAUUCUUCCUGCAUUCUUACUGCAAAAGUACUAACACUUCUUCCUUUUUAUUUUUCUUUUGAUCCUUGUCAUUGCUACUUACUUCAACUUGCUCCCACAUAGUAGUCCAUAUCUUCCAUUUGUCUUAAUCAUCCACCUCUGUUGCUCCACUUACUAUUCCAACAGGGAAUUAUAGUACUUUCCCACAUACAAAUCUUAUCUCCAUAAAUGCAGCAUCCCUCAUCCCUUUCAAAUUAUCCAAAGGUGACAACUACGCAUCCUGGCGUGCUCAAUUUUCUAAUAUUCUAUUUGGUUAUGACCUUCUAGGCUAUAUCGAUGGCUCUCUUCCUUGUCCACCAGCGAUGAUCAAAAUCCCAGGAGCAUCCAGUCCAGUAUCAAAUCCGGACCACAAACUAUGGUUACGCCAGGAUCGUCUCAUUCUUCAAGCAAUUCAAGCUUCAGUCAUUGGAUCCCUCGCCCCACUCAUAUCUUCGUGUGACACUACUGUCGAAGCCUGGUGCAAGUGAUGAGGAUAUAAACAGGAAUAACCUUUGUAUAUGAACAAAUACUAGAAGACCAUAAUACGCAACGGAAUUAAAUGGAACCACAAUAAAAUAGAACACCAAGAUAUACAUGGAAAACCCCUUCAAUGUGAAGGGUAAAAACCACGGGGCAAACUAGAGACAAUCCACUAUAAGAAUAAUGAAUAUACAAAUCACAAUCUCUUGCCCUAAACCCUAGCAACAAUCACAAGAGAAUAACUGAGAUACAAGGAUCACGUCACUGCCCACAAUAUCUAAAACCUCCCCAAGUAAUCACAGCAAGAGUCUACUGUAGAUUUGAUCUAACCUGAGAGAACACUGCUAGAUGAUUGAGAACAGUCUCUCUGCGUUGUCCUUGUCUUCUUCUCUUUCUUUCUCUUCUUUUUCUGCCUUGUUUUCCUCCUUUUCUUUGGAAUCUCGUAGCUGUUUUCUUCUCCCACGUUGCUGCCCUAUUUAUGCCUUUUUCUGCCUCCAAAACAUAGCCACCACACCCUCCUAAUGUUAAUUAGGGUUAGGUUAAGAGGGAGUAUGGGUUGUGGGCUGCCCAAGCCCACUAUGGACUGAAUUUGUGGGCUGCCAACCCAACAACCUUCCCCUUCAGCCCAUUAGGGAGGCUGUCCCAUGACUUCUCAAUGUGAAGCCAUGUCGACCAGUUGUCGGCAUAUCUCCUGCCUUUCUUUUGGUAAGGUCUUCAUUCCAUUUGGUAGCAGUACCAAAUCAUUAGUGUGGUUCUUCUGAAGAGCAUCCAUCUCUUCCUGCAUAACAACUAACCACUUCUCUUUCUGCUCACAUUCAACUGCUUCCUGGUAACUCUCUAGUUCACCUGCAUCAGUAAGCAUCACAUACUCAUAUGUAGAGUAUCUUCUGGAAGGUUGACGUUGUCUAGAAGAUCUUCUCAACUGAGGUUUUGUUGGAAGUUGCUCUCCAACUUCUUCUUGCUCAACAUGUCCUGCAGGUAAAUCAACAUCAAGCUCUACACUAUCUUCCUGCACAUCUCCCCCAUCACCUUGAUAUACUGGAAGAAUAACUGGGUCACAAUCUGCUAAUCCUUCUGCAGAAGUAUUGACUGGUGCCUUCUUCUUCAAAUCUUCAAAGGUUUGAUCCUCAAAGAAGACUACAUCUAUGCUUCUAAACACCUUCUGCUUUUUUGGAUCCCAAAGCCUGUAACCAAAAUGAUCAUAUGGGUAGCCAAGAAAAAUACAUUCUUUAGUCUUACCAUCCAGCUUGGGCUUCUCAUUGUCUGGAAUAUAUGCAAAUGCGCGACAACCAAACACUCUUAAAUGCUUGUAGGAAACAUCUUUUCCUGACCAUAUAUGCUUUGCAACAUCACCAUCUAGGGCUAUACAUAGUGAUAAGUUGAUCACAUCAACUGCAAUCCUUAAAGCCUCAUCCCAAAACCUUUUGGGUAGCUUAGCUUGUGAAAGCAUACAUAUGAUCUUUUCCAUGAUGGUGUGGUUCAUCCUCUCUGCAAUUGCAUUAUACUGAGGUGUACCAGGAACUAUCAUCUCAUGUUGGAUCACAUGUGACCUGCAAUAGUCAUUAAACAAACCUGUAUACUCACCACCAUUAUAUGAUAUUAUGCAUUUCAAUUUCCUUUCUGUCUCCCUUUCAACCCUAGCAUGAAACUCUUUGAAGACAUUAAUCACCUGAUCUUUAGUCUUCAAAGCAUAGGCUCAAACUUUCCUGGAAAAAAUCAUCUAUAAAAGUGACAAAAUAAAGUACACCACUUAUACCAAGAACAUCAACAGAUCCACCAUGAGUUAUUGUCCUCAAAGGAUCACAUAUAUCUGUAUAAACACGGUCUAAGGCAUGCAUUUUUCUAGACAAAGUAGAACUAGCAAAUGAAACUCUAUGUUGUUUACCUGCUAAACAAUCAAUACAAGGGUUCAGAUGUAUACCUUUGAGGUUUGGUAAUACCUCUCUCUUUGAAAGAGCUUGCAGCCCUUUCUCGCUCAUGUGUCCCAAUCGCCUAUGCCACAACUCUAUGCUGAAGUCUUUUUUUAUAGCAUUUAACUGCUCAUCAUAAGCUUUAGCCUGCAACCUGUACAAAGUAUGACAUUUCUUUCAAUUAGCUAUAACAAGAGAACCCUUACUGAGCUUCCAUUGCCCUUUGUGAAAUCUGCUAUCAUAGUCUUCAUCAUCUAGCAUUCCAACUGAAAUUAGAUUCAGCCUCAAGUCAACCACAUGCCUCACAUCCUUAAGCACCAACUUGCAGCCUAGGUUGGUCUUUAAAUGGAUAUCAACCAUGCCUAUGAUGUCUGCUGUGACAUAGUUACCCAUCUUGACAACACAAAAAUUUCCAAACGUGUAUGUAGCAAAAAACUCCCUCUGUGGUGUAGCAUGAUAAGAAGCACCUGUGUCAAUCAUCCACUCAAGAUCCUAACACACACAAAAAAAAAUAUCAUCAGAAUGAGACAAAAUCAAAUAAUCACCACCCUGCAUUGUAGCUAUGAUAUUAUCUUUUGACUCUAUAGACUCUACUUCUUUUCCCUUUUUCUUGCUCUUCUUAGGUUGUUUACAUUGGUUCUUGUAAUGUCAUUUCUCACCAUAAUUAUAGCAAACAAUAUCUUUUCUUGAUCUUGACUUGCUUCUACCUAUGCGUGAACUGCUUCUAGACUUUGACCUUCCUCUGUUCUCUGAGAUAAGUGCAUGUGAAUCAUUCUGAGAUGUUGCCAAACUCUUUCUUCUCAACUCCUUAUUCAACAAAUUGCUUGUUACUUGACUCAUAGUGACAACACCAUCUAGCGCAGAAUUACUAAGGGAAACCACCAGUGUCUCCCAACUUUCUGGUAAUGAACUGAGAAGUAACAAUGCUUGCAACUCAUCAUCAAGAGACAAUUUCAUAGAGGAUAACUAGUUAUUAAUACUUUACAUUUCAUUCAAAUGUUCAGCAAUAGAAGCACCUUCUCUAUAUUUUAGGUUUAUAAGUUUUCUGAUCAAAAAGGCUUUGUUGUCAGCUGUUUUUCUUUCAUAGAAACUUUCCAACUUUUUUCAAAGAGAAUAUGCAGAAAUUUCAGUAGAAACAUGGUGAAAGACACUAUCAUCAAGCCACUGUCGAAUAAACCCAAUUAUUUUUCGAUCUAACCUCUUCCACUCAUCAUCUGUCAUAGUUAUGGGUUUUGCACUAUCCCCCUAUAAAGGUCCAUACAAAUCUUUACAAUACAAGAGAUCUUCCAUUCUUGGUUUCCAUAUCAUCCAAUUGUUUCCAUUUAAACUAAUCAUGCGAGAAACAUUACUGGCCUCCAUGUUCAAAUACAAAAUUGAAAUCAUCAAAACCUCAGUGCUCUGAUACCAGUUGAUGGGGAUAUAAACAGGAAUAACCUUUGUAUAUGAACAAAUACUAGAAGACCAUAAUACGCAACGAAAUUAAAUGGAAUCAUAAUCAAAUAGAACAUCAAGAUAUACGUGGAAAACCCCUUCAAUGUGAAGGGUAAAAACCACGAGGCAAACUAGAGAUAAUCCACUAUGAGAAUAAUGAAUAUACAAAUCUCAAUCUCUUACCCUAAACCCUAGCAACAAUCACAAGAGAAUAACUGGGAUACAAGGAUCACGUCACUGCCCACAAUAUCUAAAACCUCCCCAGGUAAUCACAACAAGAGUCUACUGUAGAUUUGAUCUAACUUGAGAGGAGAACACUACUAGAUGAUUGAGAACAGUCUCUCUACAUUGUUCUUGUCUUCUUCCCUUUCUUUCUCUUCCUUUUCUGCCUUGUUUUCCUCCUUUUUUUUGGAAUCUUGUGGCUAUUUUCUUCUCCCACGUUGCUGCCCUAUUUAUGCCUUUUUCUGCCUCCAAAACGUAGCCACCACACCCCUCUAAUGUUAAUUAGGAUUAGGUUAAGAGGGGGUGUGGGCUGUGGGCUGCCCAAGCCCACUAUGGGCUGAAUUUGUGGGCUGCCAACCCAACAACAAGUUGCAAACCACCCUGGCAAAUCAUUCACGAACUCGCAUGCUUAGUCUCCUAUUCGGACUUAUGAAAACAAAACAAGAGGGAAGUACUGUUACUGAAUAUAUGCACAACAUAAAGAUUAUUAUUGAUAAAUUGGCCUUGAUUGUCCAUAUCCUCAAUGUCCUAGGAGACGAGUACAAGGAACUGGCAGCAGCAAUAUGGGCACGUGAUUCACUAGUAUCGUUCGAAGAACUCUACGAUAAGCUGACUGAUUUUGAGAUAUAUCUCAAGCGUGAGGAUAAAUUGUUAGGACCAUCUAUCAUGGCUCAAGUCAAUCAAAAAUCCACGAGGAUGGGCUAUCAGUAUAACAAGACUAUUAACAAAGGUUCGACUAAGAUGCUUUCUGAACCUUUGAGCUCCAACCAAACCCCUCCUCCACAUCAUCAACAUUUCAAUCACGAUAACCAAGGUGGCUACUUCAAUCAUCAGCAGUCCUGGCGCCCUGAACACACAAAUCAAUGAAGAGUUGUUUACAAAUUAUGUGAUAAAGUCGGUCACUCUGCAAAGGUCUGUCGAUCUCGACCCCGACUUCCUGUACAAUCACAUUGGCCUCAACCAAAUCUUACAACUACUCCAAACACUACUGAUCAUAAUUGAAUCGUGGACUCUGACGCAUCCCACCACAUUACCUCUAAUCUACAGAACUUGUCGAUCCACAAUAAUUAUAGUGGACAUGACGACAUCAUCAUCGGUGACGGUAAAGGACUUCUUAUUACUCAUACUGGUUCCACAAUGCUUAAUUCACCUACCACAACUUUUACACUCGAUGAUGUUUUGUGUGCACCUCACAUUAAACACAAUCUUAUUUCUGUUUCUCAAUUUUGCAAACAAAAUGAUACCUCUAUUGAAUUCUUUCCUAACUCUUUUCUUGUCAAGGAUUUAAACACAGAGGUAUCUUGGUCUAAGGUCAUAGUAAGGAUAAUGUUUAUGAAUGGUCGUUCAUUCCACAACUCAAACAGCCCACUGUUUACUCCUCAAUGGCAGCUCCAAUUGAUGUGUAGCAUCGUCGUCUCAGUCAUCCCUCUCUCUCUAUCCAAAAUAAAUUACUUUCUCGUUAUUCUCUUUCUACUCCUACAAAUAAUAGCUUUUAUUGUGAUGCUUGUCUCAGUAAUAAAAAUCAUAGACUCCCUUUUGGUUCUUCUUCCAUAUCAUGUUCUACACCAUUUAAAAUUAUUUAUACUGAUGUUUGAGGUCCUGCUCCUGUCACUUCCUUUGACAAGUUUAGAUUUUAUGUCAUUUUUGUAGACUAUUUUACUAAGUACAUAUUGAUUUAUCCUCUCCGUCAUAAGUCAGAAGUUUCAACAAUUUUUACCAACUUUAAAAAGUUGGUCGAAAACUUCUUUCAAUCUACAAUUAAAAUAGGCUACUUUGAUGGUGGGGGUGAAUAUCAAGCUCUCACAUCCUACCUCUCAACCUGUGGUAUCCAACACCUUAAUCAUCCCCACACACUCCUCAACUAGUUGGUUCUACUGAACGCAAACAUCGACAUAUUGUAGAAACUGGUCUCACGCUUCUACAUCAAGCCUCCAUACCAGCAACCUUUUGGUCUGUAGCCUUCCAAACUGUCAUCUACCUUAUUAAUCAUCUGCCCACUCCAGUUCUCUAAUACCAGUCUCCAUUUGAAAAACUAUUUUCUAAAUCCCCAAACCUUCAAAAACUUCGAAUAUUUGGUCGUUUAUGUUAUCUGUGGCUAUGUCCCUAUGCCCCACAUAAGAUAGCACCAUGAUCUACACCUUGCACCUUCAUAGGAUAUUCUCUUGAACAUAAUGCCUUUCGAUACUACGAACCAAAAACUCAAAAAGUCUUUAUUUCACGUCAUGUUGUUUUUGUGGAGUCUGUCUUUCCAUUUCAAAACCACGAGUCUCCUACAAUGUCGACCACUAUAACAAAGAUACAUCAUUGGAGUAUACCAUCCAGUCUCCCGGUUCAACAGCUUCCCACUCCCUCCAUUCCUUCUCAUCUUCCUUCUUCACAAGCCUCCCCUACUACUGAUAUAAUAUCCUCAGAAUCACAACAACCUUCUUUACCUAGUACCACUGAUGUAUCUCAGCCUAUCUCGACCCCUAUCGAUGCCUCUCCACCACCCAUACUAAUACCACAACUUUCAGUUCCUAGACAUCCAAUGACAACACGCUCAAAAGUGGUAUUUUUAAACCACGUCAGGUUCUCGAUCUGCAUGCUAUCACCAAAUCCUCUCCCGAGACCAGUGAACCCACCACAAUUACUCAAGCCUAAAAAUCUCCUCACUAGCGUAAAGCCAUGUGUGAAGAAUAUGAUGCUCUUCUCUAUAACUCCACAUGGACUCUAAUACCUUUUCAUCAUACACAAAACAUCAUCGGGUGUAAAUGGGUCUUCCGAAUUAAGCGGAACCUCGACGGGUCCGUUGCUAGAUAUAAAGCACGAUUAGUAGCCAAAGGGUUUCAUUAACGACCUAGAGUUGACUUCACAGAGACUUUUAUUCCUGUAGUUAAACCCACAACAAUUCGGCUUAUUAUAAGUUUGGUCAUCUCCAAAGGCGUCAACUUAUGACAACUGGACGUUAACAAUGCUUUUUUACAAGGGACUUUAACUGAAGAUGUCUUUAUGCAGCAACCCCUUAGCUUUGUUCAUCACCAGUAUCCGAGACAUGUCUGCAAAUUAUAAAAAGCCAUUUAUGGACUCCGUCAAGCUCCACGAGCUUGGUAUACUGAACUUGGAUCGUUUAUGAUAUCAAUUGGCUUCAUCAACUCCAAGUCUGAUACCUCUUUAUUCCUACGACAACAACAUGGAAAUACAAUAUAUCUUCUAGUAUAUGUAGAUUAUAUUAUUGUUACAGGCAAUGAUCCCUUGGAGAUUCAGACAUUUUUUAAGCAAUUGGCUGAUCGAUUCUCCCUUAAAAAUUUAGGACCCUUGAGCUACUUUCUGGGAAUGGAAGCAACAUUUACAUCGUCAGGUCUCCUCCUCUCACAGAGAAAGUAUAUUCAAGACUUAUUAUUAAAGACAAAUAUGUAGGAUGCGAAAGAAGUUGCUACUCCUCUCUCUACUAGUGAAUCACUCAAAUUAUGUGAUGGUAGUCCUACCACGGACUCAACUCAAUACCGACAAGUACUUGGUUCCUUACAGUACUUGGCUCUCACCCGUCCAGAUAUCUCAUUUUCAAUAAUAAAUUAUCUCAAUACAUGCACCAGCCUUCUGCUAUGCAUUGGUCUGCGGUUAAACGAAUUUUGCGAUAUUUUAAAGGGACCCUUAAUCAUGGUCUCUUUCUCUGCAAAACCACUCAACUUCAUCUUCGUGCCUUUGCUGAUGUUGAUAUGGCGGGUAACUUUGAUGUGAGAACCUCCACAUCAGGGUAUGUGGUCUUUCUUGGGUCUAAUCUAAUCAGUUGGAGUUCUAAGAAACAAAAGACAGUGGCCCGAUCUACAAUUGAAGCUGAAUAUCGUGCUAUUGCUACUGCUGUUGUUGAACUCAAUUGGGUCAUAAAUCUCCUCAAAAAACUCAAAGUCAGCUCUACCCAUACUCCUACAAUAUAUUAUGACAAUGUUGAAGCUACCUACUUAUGUAUCAAUUUAGUGUUCCACUCACGCAUGAAACACAUUGCCAUCGACUUUCACUUCGUGCGAGAUCAAGUUGUCAGACAUCAACUUCGUGUCUCUCAUGUUGCAUCGAUCCAUAACAGAGAGAUUUUAUCUGAUAACAAAGAGAUUUUAUCUGAUAACAGAGAGAUUUCCUGAACUGCACAGUAGAUGAGAUUUUCUCAACUGUAUUAGGUAAUCUUUCUGCUCAGUUAAAGAAAUCUUAUUUUUCAUUAUGUAAAAAUAGACUUCAUAUUAUACUAAUUGAAGUACUAACGUUAGAUGGCAAGGUAGCCGGGGAUUAGAGGUCGAAGGAGCGGUGCCUAUAAAGCCUUUUCCGAAACGUGGAUGGGUAACAAAUUAAUGACUUUAUGAUUUGUACCGGAAUAUGUCUUUUACUGUAAAGAUAUUUUUAUAGCAUAAAUAAUUCAAAGCUACUCUGCGAUAUUAUAUAGUAUGAUAAAUAUAUAUAUAUAUAUUACAUUAAAUAAUUUAUCUCAAGCCUAAAUUACCCACACAAAGUGGCAUCCUUCGCUUAAAACAAAGUCCGAAAUGUUAUCAGUCGUCUCCUAUUCGGAAUGCUUGUCCUACUCGGAAUCGUUUUCCCAGUUGUGUCCGUCAUCGGAACCGUCUCUAUAUAACUCAUCAACGUUGGUCCUCCGCCACCUUCAACAACUCCUCUGUCAUUGCGAUCGACAUCUCUGUCCUUGCUUCGGUUCCUCGUAGCCACCAAAGGCAGCAGAUGAAGAUAAGAACACUAGGAGCAGAGGCGGAGACCACCAUGGACAGCCCUGACUGGACAUCGCUCCCGCUGGAUGUCCUCACGAAGAUUGGCGAAAAGCUUCCCGUCCCUUACCGUGCCUGCUUUCGUGCCACAUGCAAGGAUUGGUGUUCCGCACUCCUUCCCGUUGUCAUCCCGUCCCCGUGGCUCCUCUUAGUCGGCAAGAACAGCGAUACCUGCAACUUCUUGUCUCUCCCCACCAGACGCUCCUUCACCUACUCCCUUCUCCCUGAGCUCCACGGCGUGCAGUAUGUGGGCNNNNNNNNNNNNNNNNNNNNAAAUACACACAAGUUGGCUUUGUCAUUGCUACAUUGUUGCUUAACUCCAUUAUCUGCAUUCAAUAAAAUAUACACAAGCUGGCUUUGUUAUUGCUACAUUGUUGCUUUACUCCAAGACUGAAAUUAUUGUCCUAUUUAAGCUUCCAGAUCACAGGACACAUAUCAUUGCAAAGCAUCAUCACAAUGUGGUUUUUGCACACCCUCAAUAACAAAUUGUACUCUCUUGGAUUUAUCAAGAUAUUUGACACUACAGAAUAGGUUCCAAGUACUUGAACAUUGGUAAAUGGACCAGAGGAAUAAUAUAGGAAAGCUUACAGAAAAUUGAUUAGGUCCUUUGUAGGAUUACAUCCAAUAGGAAAAACAAAUCUGAAGGAUACCGACAAUAUAUAGAAGAACUUUGGACUUUGGACUUUGGUGUUGCAUAAACUGGAUUAAUUCAACUAUAUUAACACUUAUUUUGUAAAUCAGGCUUGAAAGUUCGUGCUCAUCUUCCUUUUUGUCAUAUCUGUAUGUACUGGAAUAAACUAUACUUGAGAUAAAAAGGCACAAGUACUGAAAUAAAAUAUUGCAGAAAAAGAAGAUGGUCUGUGAAUAAACUAUAGUUGAGAUAAAAAGGCACAAGGGAACUCUAUCAUAGUAGGAAUUUUUCGGAACAGAUACCUGAAGUUACAAUCAGCAUAAUUUUAUACUUAGAAUCAGAAUUUUGUAAAAUAGCAAGUGCAUCAAGAAAGAAGAGGGAAUCUAUCUCCAGAAUAAAAAAUUGUCAGAAACACCAUUCAUUAAUAUAGCAUCAAGUUCUGAAAAAUCAUCCAGUGGUUAUCCAGAUCUAAUUCCAAUAGCCCCAAGAACUAACUCCAAAGAAACAGAGUGCUGAUUGUAGCUGCCAGACCUUGGUGGGCUUAACUGACUAAAGCUAACCCACAGCAGUUCAUCAAUCCUAAGUGCAAAAUGGUCCAGAGUGGUCUAUGCUGCAGCCAGCAGUGCUGAUUUUGACCAAUCAGAACCAUUUCUAGUACAUAUUGGCUGUUCUCAUCAGCAUAGCAUAUGAGAACAAAUUCCCAUUUGAAUUUUUCUUAAUUUUUGCUUUUCUUAAUUUACUAAAUUUUCGGUAAGACAAACACAAGGAUCAAUGGUGAGAAAAUAUUCAUGUAGCUGACUCCAAAUGGUUGGAAUAAUACAGUUUGUUCUACGAGUGGUUGCUAUCCAGUAAGACGGAUAUAUUCAUCUACAUUUAAGACUUGUGAUAACUUUGUAGCCAUGUUUAUUGAUGUUUUCAAAAUAUAUGGCAUUGUACUAGUUCGACUACUGACCUAUCUUCCCUUGGAUGAAAUUGUGUCCUAAACAUUUUGACUUUAUGGUUCUUUUUAAGAUUUGACAAUGCAAAUUCACACAACAUUUGGGAAACUACAUCUUCUACAGAAGUAAAAGAAUAUACCAACAAUGUGAUAAAUCAUACAGCUGUUUUAUGUAGCUGAAAAUUUAACUGAUGUGGCCAAGAUGAAAAGGCAUGAGCAAAGGUCAAAAUGUAAAAAUGCCUGUGAUAGUGCAAAACUUAGCUAAGGAGUUUGGAACAAAAAGAUCAUAUACAAGUAAACAAAUAAGAAAACUAAACAAAUGAAAGUAAAAGCACGUUGGAAUAGACCUUAUUUUCUUGUUCAGCUCGCACAUACUAUUAACAAAUUCGUCUCUGCAUCAACAUAAAGAUCGUGAUUGAGUUUAUACAGUUUUUAGUAUAUCGCACACACAAGAAGAUUAAAAGAAGAACAAAAAACUAGUAUUACCGCAUGAAACCCACUUCACUCUGUUCACCGAUGCCAGUUCGAUUAAGAAGAUCAAAUAACAAGGUCAAAGUUCGAAAACAAAGAAUGACAAUAACGAAAGAAAAUCUAACAACAUUUGAGAGCACGAGAGCGAUUCUCACCUUGAGUGUAUCCAGAUCAGAACGGAGCUUCAAUAUCUCCUCCUGCAGCAGAGAAGUCCUCGCCUACGCACGAUAGUUACUAUUAGAAAAGGAUUUACAAGAUCAAUCGGCAACUAGAAAGGACGCGUAAUCAGAACCUCUUGCGCUUGGAUUGAUGCACCAAUCAUAGAAAGCUGAACCUGCGAUCCCCUCAGCUCCUGCUCGUCCAUCUCCCUGGACCGCUUGGCCCCAUCGAGGUCGGCGUUUGCAACAUUGAGAUCGUUCUGAAGUUCGAGGAGCCGCUUCUUAAGAUCGGGGACCCUAAGCUCUGAGUCGAAGACAUGCGGAUUGAGAGGGGCGCAUCGGAGAUAGCGUGGAGGCACGAGAAGCAUGGAGCGGCCAUAGUGUACCUUCUUGGGAUUUCUCGGAGGCGACAUUGCGGAUCAGAGAGAGGAGAUGUUUCUGGGAUUCGCCGGACGCCAUGGCGAGAAGGCGCCCCGAGGGCUCGGAGAUGGCAGCCUAGCUUUUUGGGGAACAGCACUCGUCUCCCGCUCUUUGGUUCGAGAAGAAUCCAUAAUUAUUCUAAAAUCAUCAUUGAUAUUAUGGAUCUCAGAUCAAACCGGAAAAUAGAGUCCUCGAUCUAAGGUUAAUUGUUAUAGUGAAAGUUGAGAACAGAGUUUUUUUUUUUUUUUUUUGCCAACAUGCUAAUAUAGGAAUUUCUAUGGAUUUACUAUGACAUUUUUCAAAAAACCCCAUAUUCUAAUAUCAAUAUGAUUUAAUCAAUUUUGAUCUUUUAAUCUGAUAUGAUGAAAAUGAUCUAACCUAUUAAAAUUUUUAAGUACUGUUGAAUCUGAAAAAAAGAAAAAUAAGUUCGAUUGGUCAGGAGACUUUCACUUGAGAUAAGAAAAAGUCCCAUAUACUAUAUCUUAUUUCAAUGUGAGGGUAGAAAUUAUUUGUUCUUGCAAAAGAUUAUGUUGGAAUAUAGGAUCACUCACCCCAUCCCCACUAUAUUAAUGUUGAAUGUUGAUAUUGUUUGUUUUAGUUCAAUUAAAUCAAAUAGCUUGCAAUUAACUUGGAAUCUACUCAACCAAAGUUCAACUCACCCAUCUCUUCCUAUAUCCAUAGGAGUAAUAAAAAAUAUCUUCUAUCUCACCUCAUUAAGGUCGAGUCUCUAUGAAAACUCAUACCUUUAGGCAUAACUUGUGUUUAUUAACUCACCCCAUUAACUCUCACCCCAGUAAAGCUAACUUUAGUGCUUAUUAACUUUUAAUUCCCUUACUUCUUCCUUGAUAUAGGACUAAAUAUGUUUGCUCGUGGCAGCGUCCGAUUCGGUGUCCGGCCACAAUCACUUUCCUUCAAAAGCGUGGAGAGAUGAGGUGAUCAGCGAGCGAAGGGUUGGAUGCGAUUUGGCUGUGUGACUCAGCAUCAAGUCACGACAAGGACGAUACCACCAAGUCCUUCUCGCCGUGUGGCUUCCCUGAGUUCUUUAACGCGGACCCCACCAUUUUCUUCUCACGCACUGUCUCUCAACGGUUUCGUUCAUCACGCAGCCAGCGUUGCUUUCCCCCGAACCGUUUGUUCCUUGAGCGAACGGUUACGUGGGGGUUUCGUUACCCGCUGGGGGCCCUACCGUUACGAUCGGUGCGAUUGAUGUCUUGAUUUUUAUGGGCGUGGUUUGGGUGGUGCAUCGUGCUUCGGGCUCGAAGAAGAUGCGAAGGCGGAUACGUCAUGAUCUCCUCCCGUUGAUCGUCACCAUCCGUGAUCUCUACGGACGUGUGGACGGCAGAUCUUCUUUCCGUACAUGGUAUACUAAGCGGCAACGGUUGGAGAUACUCGAGCUAUGGGGCCCGGAUAAGCCUCGCCUGUUCCCUGUGAAGCAUGACCGGACAUGAAGUUCCACGUGGCAAACUAGCGUCCGUUCACAGGCACGACGAUGGACACGCGUCAUUACGGCGGACCGCACGAGGAAGCCUAUGCUUGAAAGGAACAGGACUGGAACGGUCUCGAUUAAUUCCGGCGUUGCGUUAAUUACCUAAUCAUCUAAUUAAAUUAUCGCACUGCUCUUUCUACCUGCAAGGUUGUACACGUUUAGCCACAUGCGUUGCUAUUGGAGAGAAAGAUGGGGACCACUGGUGACCCACCUGCGCUCGUCCUCCGACUUCUACAAAAUUGCAGUCUGACGCUGAGUGGGUAAGCCUCACACGGCAACACUAUUUUUGUAAGAUGAGGCUCCACCUCCGCUAAUGACCAUCCUAAACUGAUUCUUGUGCAAGAAAAGGAGGAUAAGCUUUUUGCUUUUACUUCUUGUUGUUGGUUUUUAAGUCUAUAAAUUGGUGUGCCGACGGCGCAGUCUUCCGUCGCUUAUCCUUUCGGCUAUUUUCUCUUUUUCCUCUUAGAGGAGCAACUGUGAUCGGAGCAUCUGCAUCGCCGACAGAUCAGAACCGUCGCGUUCUUUGGAUUUUCGGUGAAGGUGAAAAGUUGAUAUCGAUCGGACGGAUGUCGAUCGCACUGGAGAAACGGGGCGACAUUGGCCGGUCGGGGCUUCUCCAGCGGCCCGCCUGCUUCCCAAUCUACGAGGUGCCAGAGGCGGCGGCAAGGCUUGCGGUGGCGGGGGACGGCGGCGAGGACUCCUGCAGCUCUUCGUCCAUCGGGAGGAACAGCGACCUCUCCGCCGGUGGAUCGGGGUCGGACGGCGGGGAGGCGGAGGUCCAGAGCAGGUUGAAGGGGCCACUAGAGACAAUGGACGCCCUCGAGGACUCACUGCCCUUGAGGUAUCCUUCUUCAUCUAUGCAAAAGUUCCUACGUUGACUAGCUUCUCUUGAAUGCUUCGGAUUAGGUUCUUGCUUUCUUGGUGCAUUUGGGUGAAAUGUAACGCGGGUAAUGUUUGUGAGAAAUGUUUUCAAGAAACAUAAUGGUGCUGCCUUUUUGUUCUUGAUGUAGCAAAUAUUUCUAGAACUUGUUUAGCCGUUGUUACGAUUAUCGUUAUGAUUGCUUGUUAUGUAUUAUAUUUUAGGGUUUGAGUUGUUCUUUUCUUGAUAUUGCUUGAAAUUUCCCCAGAUAUGAGUUGGAUUUGUGAAUUAGGGCCCUUCAGAAAUUGUGCCUAUCCAACGCUUUUAGAUUGCCCAUUUCUUUAUAAUCAGCAGAUAUCCAUAUCAGUUACUAGUGUCUGAUAUCUCACUCUUCUUUGACCAAUUUCAUUGGAUAAUUCAAGGGCUACUAUUUCAUUUGGUAUCUUAUUUCUAUCCCCCUGGUAUGAGUUGACUUUUGAGAUCUCUACUUAGAAGACAGUUAGCAUUGAACUCUGUAAUACGUGCGAUGCAUACAUCCUGUUGAUUUUUCAAAUGUUACCGUAAGUCUCCUAUACAAGCCUACUACAGACAUAAAAGUAAGGAUUCUCACCCGAAGUCUGGGGUUAUAAUAUGAGACCAGAGGGGCUUUUAUUUGUGAUUCUGGAGCAAUGGAGAGCCUUUUAAUGCCUUCUACAUAUCUUUAUUGUUUUUGACAAAAGUUUUUGGUCCUACUAUCGCUCGCUAAUCAGCUGUGAUCGAGAUUGAUAACCGGAAAACCAUUUUGAUGUUGGGAUGAGUUGGAACGAGAUGCAUUUAACUUUGGGUAGACAAAAUCUUGGAUGAGUUUUGGCAUCAUUUUAUCAACAGGAUUAAAUCUUCAUCUUAUUAUAAUGCAGACAAAAUUUAAGGUUUUUAAAAUGAUUUUCGCCACAUCUACUGAGCAGAAUGUCACUGACAUAGUAAACCAAUCAAAAUGUUGCCAUAACACUUUUGUUUGUAGAGCAUGAGAUGCUAGAAUAGUUUGCAUGUAAUCUUACACUAUGAGAUAGAGGUCAGACAUCAUCAAUUCACUAUUAUCUGAUGCAUACUAAUUUGGAGUUUAGUUUUCAGUUUGUUUUAGCUUAGUUUUUUAAAAGACAUAAUAUAUUUAAUAAAUUAUAAAUGUUGGCUUUGUUAGAAUUAGUUUUAUCUUAUCACUGACAUCAUGGGACAACAAGAUAAUAUUUUAUUUUAGAAAGUUCGAUGAGUUUUGCCAGCUGAAAAUAAGAUUAUGUCCUUGUCAGAUAUUUACAGUAUUGACAAUGAAAUGAUGGAUUUUUUGAAUGACUAAUCCUGUGUUUUCUUGUGAUGGGUGUUCUCCGCACCUUCCAAUCCAGUUUCCCUUUCACUCUUAAUUCGUUGAAUUAAUUAUCUUGGUCUGGUGAUUAAUGCUAUUCCAAAUUAGAGCAUGGAUUUGAGGUUCCAUGCCACUCCAUUUUGCUGCAGUACAUAUUCCCUGUACUUGGACAAUGGAUCUAUUGUGUUUGUUGUCUCUAGACAUUAUUGGAAAAUAUUAUCUUUGAUCUGAAGAACAUUUCUCAAAGAUGACCUAGGAAGAUCUUUUCACUCAAAGGAUUGUGCUAGUGAUUAGAUCUUCAGAGAUAGGUAUAGAUGGCAUGUCCAUCCCUUCAUCAUUGUAUAGGGAUUUCAUUUGGAUUAGCUCUUCAGCUGCACGCCACAUUCUUUUUUCCUGCAUCUUAAUGUGAUGGUGCUGUAUCUAAAAUGCAUUUUAGGUUUCAUUUCUGUAUUUCACUUCCCUACCUAGUCAUUUGCCAUACAAAUUAGGUUCAACUUUGAGGAUUGAUUUUACCAGAUUGUGUUAAUUGAGAUAUCAGUGAGGAUGUUAACAAUAGAUAAGUGAUUCUGUUGCAUGGAUACCUGAUCCAUGCUAAUGUAGUUCAAUACACAUACGGGCAGCAGUUGUGGUGCAUUUGUGUCCAGUCAUGGUGGUAUUGAGAUAAUAUAUUAUUAUUAUCCAUGUUUUUACCAUCAUGUAAGGAAUUAUAUUAAUUGACAUAUUGUUGACGUUACAUACUUUGUGGUGCAUUUGUGUCCAGUCAUGGUGGUAUUGAGAUAAUAUGUUAUUGUAAUCCAUUCUUUUACCAUCAUGUAAUAAAUUAUAUUAAUUGAGAUAUUGUUGAUGUUACAUCCUUUUAGAGAACUGUCUAUUCGGUAGGAUUCUGAGAGAUUUUAUGAAGUCUGCAUUUCUGAAUGAGGCUGAUUAUCAUUACGUACAUUUGAUUUGCAUGAAGUAGAACACCAUGGAUUAUUGUUCAUGAAACAUUUCAUCAUCCACGACAUUGAUGCACCGAGUUAAGGGCAUCAUGCUACUUACUUUGGGAAUGAUUCAAAAAGACUUUGGAACAUUUUAUUGCAAUGGUAGUGACUAGAGAGAUGAACUAUUGACACUUGGAAAAAAAAAAAAAAAGGAGAUAUCAAGCAUAUAAGUUGGCAAUUGUUGCCAUAGUAAUAGUAGGCUUUUGUUUCUAGAUUAUAUUAAGGCCAUAUGGUUUAAUGAGUCAGCAUGCCUUGAUUUCUCUCUCUCUGCAGGCGUGGCAUCUCCAAGUUCUAUACCGGCAAAUCCAAAUCUUUCACAAGCUUUGUGGAUGCCAAAUCAUCUUCCUCUUGUAAGGAUCUUGCAAAAUCUGAAAAUGCUUAUACCCGCAAGCGCAAGAAUCUUCUUGCCUUCAGUGUUCUAUCAGAUAAGUCUAGCAAGCUAGGAAACAUGGAAGGGCGUAUUUCAAAAAGACCUGCCAGUUCCAGCCGAAGCAUGCUAAGCCCGAUCCUAAACAGUGCCAGCUCCAGCAGCAACAGCUUCAGCAGUGAAGAGGAUAAUGUUCUGGGUCAUCUUCUUCCUCCCCCUCACCAUCAGGGCAAAUAUUCUGGCGAUGCUACUUCAGCUACUGCUGUUUCUCUUUCAACUACUCCAUUCGGUUCCUCCCCGAUGAGAUCAUUCUCAGUGACAGAUCUCCACGGCAUCCUUCGUUCGUCCUCGAUUCAGAUUCAGACAAGGGAUGACCACAAAAAGAAUCAGUAGCUCAAAGAUGUCUCUCUGAAUUGAUUUGGUCCCAUGUCCCCUAUUUUUUUGGAUCAUGGGUUUUCAUCUAUCUGCUUGGUGAUUGUCAGAUGGUUGAUUGAAUGUUUGUACAGGGGAGGAAAUUUAAGUUUGUUUUUGCUAGACAUGAGAGAGUGUCAUAUGAAUGGCCUGACUAGGUCUCUAAUUUACAGGGGUCCUCCUGUCUAUCUGACUCCUUGUCCUUGCAUUUAUAUACUUGUUAUGCCCUGCUCUUCCAUAUGCUGCGUUAUCACCUGAGGAAGACCACUGACGUGGAAUGAUGCAUCUGAUGUAUGGUUUAAUUUAAGCUAUACCAUAUCAGGAGGUGUGGUUCAAUUUGCAUUUUUGUUGGUAAAGAAAAUUGUUUGAAAAGAUGUUUCGAAACUUCUAACCUUUGAUGAGUGAUAAAUUCGGUUCAUGAUAGGCAGAUCAAUGCUUUAGUUAUUGUGUAAGUGCAGCUGAUUCAAAAUUUUAACAAGUGCAACAUUUGAAAUUUUGAUGCACAAGGAGAGUUAGAUUACCUGAGUUAUCCAUGCCAAAUGAAUGUCAUUAGCACAUUCUUAAUUGGUUUAAUAAUAUUAUAAACGACAUAUGAAUGUUCGUUGCAAUUCAUGAUGGAUUAUAAAGGGCUUCGCGGAAACGAUAUUAAAAUGUUCUAAUGUUUCCGGUCUCCAAAUGAUACAAUUCUUAUCACAAUAAAAAGUCAUUGAUGCAUAAGAAAUCUGAAGGAAAUGAUGACAUUGAAAAUUUUGCUCCAGUAGGUUGAUUCAAGAUUCUGCCUCCAUUAAUUCGGGAUUGUCAAAAAGAUAUGAUACAUUCUAUAUGAAACCGCAACGCAAAUAGAAGAUGGAACCAUAUCAGAUGCGUAAGAUGAAAGUGGAAAGGAUGCAUGUGGAGGUAACAUGUACUACGAGUAGUAGUGAUAAGUCAAUAUUUUAUCCUUUCGGGCUGAGCAAAAUAUAUAUAUAUAUAUAUUUGAAGGGUCGUAAAUCUUUAGUUCAUCUAUUCUUGAACCAAAGUAAGACUAAAUGUACUUAUCAAUGACUCCCUAGCAGGGAGAGUCAAGGGCUCAUGACCCUUCAAGAGGAAUCCAAUAUCGCGGAGGCAUAAUGUCAAAUACAUCCAAGACAUGUAAGUCAGGAUGAUCCAAUCCUAAAUAAUCUUGGUCAUAAGAUAUUCGAGAGGAACAUCGAGAUAACCGGACAUAUCGAUAUGCUAUAUACCCGUCCAUAUGAUGAAGGUAACUGGUCUUAUAGCUGCCCGUGUGGGGACACUAUGGAUAUAGUAUAGGUGCUCAUUGGAGAAUAAGUUCACUAAUUGAUCCACUCACGGAAUACUGGAUGGUUGAUGAUACCUCAUUAUCAGAUAGCGAUUUCAUCGGUCCUUAAACUUUAGACACCAAGGAUAUCCUAUAUGAGUACUUCAUUCUUUGAUAUCGAACUUAUAGGUAUGAAAAUUCUAGAUCUAGCACAAUUGGUCAUUGGGAGUGACAGUCAAUCUUAUGAGAACAAUUGAGUGACUAUAGAAGAUCAUCCGCUCUCGGUAUCAUAAGAGGAAUAUCUUAUGUAUUCUUUCUCAAGCAAAUCCCUAGCUAGGGUCAUUCGGAUUGAAAGAGAAAGAGUUCUCCUAGAAAAUCCGAUUAGAGCGAGAUUCGAGUAGAUUCCGUAUGGGCUGACAACACCAUAUCAGGUAUAUGAUCUUUGGGAUAUUAGAUAAAUGAGGGACUAUAGAGACACGGUAACUAAGGACAUACAAGUCCAAUGGAUUGGAUUCUCUUGUAUCGUAUGGGGACUACAGCGUAGUGGCCUAGUACAUCCAUAGUCAAUGAGUUGAAUGAAUAAUUCACUGAGCCAGAAGGAGUUCUAAUAGGUAUGACUCACAACCAUAUUGAUAUUGGGCCAAGAGGGUCACACAUAUAUAAUAAGUGUUGCACCGAGUAGAGGUUUUGAAUAUAAGAUAUCCGUUGAAACUCUUAUUUUAUUGGAUAUCCAAUGAACUCCUUAAUUAUUAGAUUUUAUGGAUAAGAUCAAAUAAGAGCCAAUUAAAGAUUAUUGGAUAAAGAUCUAUUAACCCAAGAUGCUUGGAUAAUUGAAUAGAGAUCUAGUACUCAAUAUGACAAGAUUCAUUAUAGUUAAAUUGAUAGGGACCUCUAUAAAUAGCAAGAAACUAAAGGGAAAUAGGCUAGAUAAUUUUUGGCUGCCACCUCCUAUUCUCCUCACUCCCUCUCCUCCUAAGUUGAUAGCCCCAGUUUAGGGUGUGUGGAUAGUAAGAAAGGUCAACCCCUUCUUGAUCAUGUGAUGUGCAUGGAGAGGAAGAUCAUGCACCGAUUUGAGGGGUGUUUUUAUCACAUCAACUAUAUGGAUCAUCAUUAGAGAGGAGGAUAGUUGACCUCCUUCAUCCACUCCUAUAGAUCUAGGAUUUUACAGGGAUAUAUGAUUUCCUUAUGUAACAAAUAUGUCUUGAUAUGCGUGAUUUUCGUUUUGCGUUUUCGAUUUUACACACUAAUCUUCGCACGAUAAUGAAAUAUUUUUUUCUUUGUUCCUUUUCUCUAGCGGUGUCUUCAUCGGUUGAGGAUCCUUUAAGAGUCCUUUUUCCUUUAUUUGGAAAAUGACUUCAGUUCUAGUCAUGUUCAAAGGAGUCGACUUAAACCUUAGGUGAGGUAGCUCGGGUUAGUCUUUUCUUCUUCCCAAUGGUGACCUCAAGGUCAAGGUUUAUGGUAGUCGCUCCUAUCUUGGCUUUUUAUGUCUUCUCAUGCUUGCUUGAGAUCAUUGUCUUUGCGGCAAUGUACUGGUUGACCCUCUAGAGCAUCUUAGGUACCGUCAUCGGUAGCCUCUCCACCAAUGAUUAAAAAAAGCGAGAGAGCUUGAGCUCCAUCAUGAAAGCUUGUAUUACAAAUGACAAAUGAGCUUCUUGCACACCUCGGAUCUCAUUAGUGAAUCGAACAACAAAGUCAAAGAGUAUUUUUUCCUCCCCUUACCCGAGUCUAAGAAGUAUUACCACUAAUAGCCUCGGGCAUAUAUUUCCGAGGAAGUAGAGCUCAUACUCCUUUACAAGCUGAGCAAAGUAGUCGACCGGGAGUGACUUUAAGAAAGUGUACUAUUCUUAUACUAGGCCUCUUAAUGUUGUUAGGGAGGUACGACACAUCAAGAAGUUUGAGGUAUCAUACAAUGACAUUUGGUAUGGAAGACGAUAGUGUACUCUAUUAAGUUGGUACUAUCGUCAAAAGCCUCUAAUGAUGGGAGGUGAAAGUUUAUUGGGAUUAGCUCCUCUUGGAUGUUCCAAAUGAAUGAGGAUCGACUUGAGGUGGGGUCAUCCGGCCUUUCCCAUUUGGAUUGUUGAAAUUCUCGUUGCAUCUUUUUUAAGCAUUAGUCCAUUUGUCGUAGCUGAAUUCUUAAGGAGUCAUCCAUCGAAUUUGCUGACUAGGUCUUGGAUUUAGGCAGAGUAAAAUGAUAGUGCAGUAGUGCACUAAAUUCCACGGUUGGGGAGUGGGGCACUCUUUUGGUCGAUAGUUCUACGAGUCUUAGCCAAUCCUGAGAUGUUGGCACUACAUCGGACAGGGGCAUCCUAGUGAGUGUCGAGGUGUCGAGACUAACGAUCAGGAUUGAACAAGAGGAGGAGGUAGCCAUUGCAGUAGGUCCAAAAAAGCUUACAACCACACAUUAGUGCUCGUUCGGAAUCAUAUAUAUUAUUUAGUCACUAUCCCAACUCAGAAAAAGUACGUACAACUUUUAUUUUAGUGGAAAAAAUACGUCUCUUUUAGUCACUAAGAAACUAUUAACUGAAAACGUAAUAUUUUACUUAUAUUCAAGGAUCGUAGGUAAGACAUAAUGUGUACAAUCAUGACGCGUGAAUGAACGUCUAUUAUGCAUAUACAAUGCUUUCUAUUAUGUGUGGCCCCGUCAAGUUAGUCAUAUUGUUUGAAUAUUUUAUUUGAGAUUUGUCCUUAUUACAUGUAUAUAUUUAUGUAUUAGAGUUAAUUCUCAACUUAUAUAGUAUAUGCUUCUUUGUAUGGAAUGAUAACACAUUGCAUAAGCUCCAAAAGCAAAGUCAAUUUUGUUGGCAGCAUAAUGUUUUAAAUGAAUUUAACUUGUAGAAUUAUAACGAUUCUAAACCGAGAAAGAGUAAGAAAAGUGGGGAAAUGGUAGAUUAAGAACCACAUUAGGAGAAAUUUCAUGAAGACCAGUAAAAGCAAAGCUGGGUUUUAAUAUCUAUCCUUGUAUGGUUUGGAAACAGCAUUUCCUUGUAAAUUUGAUAAAGCAUAUCAACAAACGAAACCUCACAUUAUGUUAGAAAUAUUAAUAAUACCUUUAAUAUUCUUACCAUCAUAAUAUUUGGUUCCAUUUUUAUGGCUAAAAAAGAAAAUAACUUUUAUCUUUUUUUUUUCCAAAAAAAAACUGAAUAUAUUACUGUCUAAAAACAUGAACACUAUGCGAGGACCUCCAAAUUAGAGAUGUUUUGAAAGAGUAUGCAAAAUGUGCUAAUCAAUUACUGCUCUUAUUUCCUUCCCUAAAAACAUGACAAAAUUUGCAUUCAUAAAAAUAGUCAGACAAAUGCCAAAUACUCCUAAACAAAGUCAGCAGUCUCCAAGGUGGAUCCUCUUCUUCAUUUAACGCCUUGAUAAUGAGCUGAGAGUCAACUUCCACCUCUGACUUGGGAAUGCCAUCAUCACAAGCCUUCUGCAUCCCCCAUUUAAUCACCAUCAACUCAGCAGCCAGUUUGAGGCAAAAAUUAGCAUCCAGCCAUCACACAGCUCACCUCCCCUCCAAUCUAUAAAAUGACCCAUCAGUGUUGAGUUUAUAUCACCCUAUGGUAGGUUUAGAUCAGGUUACAUGCAUUCUGCUCACAACACUCACGCAAUAUCUGGAGAAUAAAGUUUUCAUUCAUUUAAGAAAAGAUGAUCUAAGUACAAUUCCUUUGUUCAUUUUUAUAGGCCCAUACAUAAAGAAAAUGGAAAACAGAAUAAAUGGAAGAAAAAAAAAAAGGCUAAUCAACUAAAAUAUAUUUUUUAUUAGGAAACACAAGUUUCUACAUAUAGCCUUCCUUCCAUUUAGCCUGAUGGUUCUUUCCCUUUUUUUUCUCUUCUUUGUCAAUCUAGGAAACAAUGAUAGAAAUGCAUGAGAUAAUUCAAAUGGCCUCUCUACUAUUUUUAUUUUUAUUUUUUAAAGCUCAUCGCAGCGAUUCAAUUAUGUUGAAAUUUUUCGUAGGAUUUUAUAAAAGAAAUAACUUAUGAAUUUAAUAUCCUAUUAGAAACAAUGACAACUUAACUUCUAUCAUGUAUAGUUUGGCCAGGCCACCUAAUAGGUAUAUGUUGUUUUCUUGCAUGGAGUAAAUUAGGUCAUGUUACUAAAUUGGUUUAUAAUGAAAAUGGAAUCAUGACCUGCUAUUAUUUAUUGUAAUCUAAGAAUUUUUUUUUCAAAAUGUAAGUAGUGAAGACUAGAUUCGAAUCCAAGACAUUGCGAUAAAUUAUCAAAAUCUUUACCAAUUAAGUUGAUUAAUAUAUUCUAAGUUCAAAAUUUAUACUAAUAUCUUUCCAAGAGAUAUGAGAUGUAAGCAAAAUUCAUACUAGCUAACACCUUCAAAGUUUUAUAUGUUAGGCUUGAAUGUUUAGUAAAGCGACAAUAGGAGUUUAAAUCGAUUUGGUUUUACUUAAUAAUCAUGAUUUAUAUUUAUUUUCCUAUUUAGUUUAGGUUAAAAAAAUUAAGAAUACAAGUUAAAGAUGGUAUGCAGUUAUCAAUUAUUUUAUUAUGAAAAAAAUUAGCAUUAUAUCUUGGAAGAGACUAUUAGGAUCGAGUCGACACUAAGAGGAGGGUGAAUUAGUGCAACGGAUAAAAACAGACUUGUCCUCUUCUUAAAGCAGCACUAGGCAUCGCUAAUUGGGAGAUCGGUAGGCAUCCUCACUUUUCCUCGACACCUUGCUAUGUUUCAUUAGUCUCCUUUGGGUGAUAUAAGAUUCUUCUAAAACCUUUAUACAUGUUUCAUGCGUAAUAUAUCAUCAUCGUUCGUCUUCUUCAAUCUCUCUUGCGGAUUUGGAGAGUAGAUGGGAGGUGUAGAGGGACUUCUCUUACGUUUCAUUGAAGUCAUGUGGGUUGGACUAAAUUUGGCCUGAUACAAAAGUCAAAGAAGUGUUUUGACUUCUUGAACCUUUGUUUGAAUUGUUGUUUGACUUUGGUUCAACUCAGACCUGAUUUCUACUUGUGGGCAUUAUAUAUUGAUUUAUGCCAAUUGUGAUUAUGCAUAUGAUUUCGUGACUUGUAGAACAUUGCAUUUAUUGUGGAACACUUAAAUAGAUAGCAAAUUUUGAGUCAUAUUAACAGAAUUAUUUUGGAGUGGUAUUCGAAAUUAGAAUAUGACUGGACUUUUAAUUGGUACAAAAACUGGUAUUUAAUUCUCUUAGGUACAAAAGAUUAAUGGAGAAGGCCAACAUCAGCUCUACUGUCACCUCAAGAAGUCGAGAGGAAGAACCACAGGUGGAGGAAGGAAUCACCACAGAGAGACCAGAUUGGACAUUACUACCACUCGAUCUCAUAACAAAGAUCAGCGAAGAACUUCCCAUCCCACACCGUCUUUGCCUUCGUGCCACAUGCACAACUUGGUAUCAUGCUGCAGUCUUGGACAUGGAUGUCCCGUCCCCAUGGCUCCUCAUACCCGAUCAUGAAAGUGAGCAAAGCGACUCUUGCACUUUCGCAUCUCUCCCUACUGGCCUCUUCUUCACGUACUCCCCUAUCCCCGAGCUUCGUGGCACACGUUGUGUUGGUUCUCAUGCUGGUUGGCUUGCGAUCGCCAAUGUUCACUUGGACGUCAGCCUCCUAAAUCCCUUAACAAGGUCUCAAAUCUACCUUCCCUCCUUCACCACCCUACCUACUGAUGAUCUCAUGCUUGAAUGUGACGUCUGGUCUAUGGACAAUCCAGCAACUGAUGUGCCUGCUUAUAACCCUUUUAAAGCAUUCCGCGAUCGCUUCAUUGGCAAGGUUGUCUUUUCCUCAAAUCCUACUAUCCAUAACCACGUCGCGGUGACACUCUAUGGUGCUUAUGGUGAUCUUGCCUACACGAAGGCAGGCAAAGAUGCGUGGCUUCUUCUUAAGGAACCAUCAACCAAGGAUCAUCAGUAUGAGGAUGUCAUGUAUCAUGAUGACAAAUUCUACUGUCUAUCAAAUGAAUGUGAAGUCGAAGCUUUUGACCUAAGUGGAGAUUGUCCCACUGCGGCACUCGUCGUUGAGAGAUUAACAUUUAGUGUUACAUACUUUCACGACAUACGCGGCUCCAAUCUCAGCUGUACGUAUAAAAAAUACUUAGCACGCUCGAGCACAGGAGAGUUGUUUAUGUUUCUAAGAUAUAUAAAUCAACCCGUUUUACCGAAUGAAAUGGAACUGCGUAGGCCAAAAAAAUUCAUGGUUUUGAGGGCUAAUCCCGAGACUAACCCUUGUUGGGCUGCUGCUACAAACGACUUGGGAAGUAUGUCAUUGUUCAUUGGUACCAACAAUUCCAUGUUGGUAUCAAAUGAGAAUUUACCGAUAGUACAUGGAGACGGUAUCUUCUUCAUCGAAUCCUACACAGUAGCAUUUGGCAAUGGCAUUGAACUACUCACUUCUGAUGUUGGAUGGUUCAAUUUGAAAGAAGAAUGUUCGGAUAACUACUAUGCAUCAUCUUGUCCUCAAUUCGACUUGGCAUCAGUCAUCUGGUUCACACCCUCACUACAGUGAUUACAAAAGAAAAACUGGUUCUGGUUGUCUUUGAAUAACCUAUUACUGAAUGUAGAGAUAUGUUGAUUGAUCAUUAUUCCUAUGAACAUUAUUAGUCUAGAGUUGAUUAACCAUCUCGAUGUUAAUUCAUUUAACUUGUGCUUUGUUGUGGGCAAGAAUAUAUUUUGCUUUAUAUUGGAAAUCAUAUUUGAUUGCACAAAGUUUCAAUGCCCUGAUUUGCAUGUCUUGAUGUGGCGUAGAAUAUGAAAUCGUAGAUACAACACAUAGCAAUUCAUUUUCCAUUAUGGAGAGACAACCUAAAGAUACAAUGGAACAUUGAGCCCGGAGCUUUGUUUAGGAUACUAACUAUACCGAUCCAUCAUUGUCGUUUUAUUGGAACUGGACUUCAUCAUUGGAAUUAUUUUAGCACUUAGAAAUUUAUGUGUUAGUCAAUAAAACUAGACGACUACUUAUCGCAGUUAGAGAGAGAGAGAGAGAGAGAGAGAGAGAGAGAAAGCACUUACGUUUUGAUCCUUUAAAAAUUAUGGUAUGGAAUUGAAACAAAGACUUGCAUGAUCGAUCGAAUACAAGAAGUCGAUGCAGAAUUCUAGGUUGAAAAUUUGGAAAAUUAGACCAUGUAGUAUCAAUCAAAUUCAAAGAAUUCAUAAAAGCAUCAAUGGACUUGGGACUGAGGUCUCUACAAAGUUUAAAUGGUAAAAGACACUUAGGCCAUUAAAAAUAUUAAUAUGUAUAUUAGAGGAUAGAUUGAUCGGUGGAGUUUCAUUUCUUUAAAAAAAAUUGUAAGGCGAAGAUGAGAAUUUUGAAUUCAUUGCUCUUUUUAAUGGGUCUCCUUGUGAAGUGCCAAGCUUAAUUUUUAAUUAUAAAAGCAAAAAUUAAAUUAUCCAGGUGCUUUGAUUGCCUCGAUUUUAUUCAAAGGGUUUUGAAUUUAUAUAAAUUUAACCUGCUAAAUUAGUAAGAAAACUAGAGUAUUUUUUAUCAAUUUUCUUAAAAAUUAAGAAAAUUAAAAUUACUCAACUUCGCCUACUUCGUAAAGGGUAUCAUUCCAUACAUCAAGCCAAGUAAUAGCCUUUGCCUUUAGACUUUUGGAGCAUUCAAAGUAUGUACUUCUUAUUUAUAAUUGAUUACUAAACUUCCCCUCUUUUUUAUUGUCUCUUUUUUUUUUAAAGAGAAUUAUUGCUUUCAAGGGGUUAAAUUUUGUCUCAUAACCCUUUCAUAGAUUUAGCCGAUUGUACUAUAUUUUUUUAUUUUUUUGUUAUCUACUCCUCUAAGUAAUAAAGGAUAUAAGAUACUUUAUACUUCAUUCCUUAGUCGAUCAUCAUCACUUCAAUCCAAAGUUCAUCACUUUGGAUUAUCUCAAUAAGAAUUUCUUUGACAUAGGCCUUAUGAAAUUCUCUCACAACUAUCCUUUUAUUUUAUCUUAGUAUUUGGAAUUUACUAUUAUAUUCUCUACUGCUUUGGCCCUCAACUAAUGUGUUCUCCUUUCAUAAAAGCAAGAGAUCAGGAACAACUAAGAAGUAUUACCUAUGUUAUACCAUGAUAUACCAUUAAGCUCAUGGCCCUAUUUCCAUUACUUCACAUUUGCAUCUUUUUUUCUCUAUGAUUGAUAGUUAUUGUCAUUGUGGUCGAGUGGCACUCUUUUUGGAGUCCACAUUCAAUCUAACUGAUGGAUUACUAGUAUAUACUUAAACAUACUACCCCUUGUCUACUAACGCACACAACCUUCAUCUGAUGUAAUUUUUAUGCAUGUAUCGAAAACCUACCUCUGUAAGACAAUGAUAUUCACUCCUUAAUUAUAUAGUCAUUCUUUUAAUGCAAAUUCAAUAUAUACAUGGAAGAUUUGUUUGUAUGAUUUCAUAGUACUUAUCCCUUGAGUUCAUAGUUUUUCUUAAACUGAAAAUUUAAUACAUGCACAAAAGAUUGAAAGUCCCUUGUCUGAAUGAUCAAGUCCCUGAUUAGACUUGUUAGUGUGUUGCUCUAUCUCAAAUUAUUCCAUCAUGAUCUACUACCCCUAUGUCGCUUCAUGGUGAUAUCUUUGUUGAAUUUUAGAUUUGAUUGUCAAACUACUUAAUGAAUUUGAAGAUCUAAUCUUUAGAGAAGUCAAGCGACAUAUGUGAACUUUGACUCAUAGUAUCAAUCACUAGAGUUGUAUGUUAUUAUUUUGGAUGAUUGAAAGUUAUAUUGAAAGAUCGAAUAUUAUAUAAGAGAAUUGGAUAUCAUAUCAGAGGAUUGGACAUAAUGUAGGAGAAUCGAAUGUUAUGUUGGAGAAGGAUAACUCGACAUAUCAAAAGGUAAGGCAAUAUGCCAAAAGACUAGAGGACAUGUCAAAAGAUUUAACAAUUCACCGAAAGAUUUAACAAGUUGAAAGAACCAUUGAUGUGUCGAACCCUUGGUCAAGUCAUUAAUACAUUGGUUGAGUUAUUGAAGCCUCAGUUGAGUCAUCGGGCCUAUACACAUUCUUAAUUAGGUCAUCAAUGAGUUGUUAUUUGGCCUCAAAAUGGGCUUUUAUGAGGAUAGGUUGCUUAAGCUAGUUUUCGUGCUAUUUUGGGCUCUUACUAGGCUUUAUAGCCUAGGCCUAGCCUAGGUGGUAGUAUUACUUAGAUAGGGAGUAGUAUCACCUGGCACAUUUAGAAUGGUCUAGACAAUGUUGAUUUAGUGGUUUGAUGAUAAUGUUGAAAGAAGUGAUAGUAAUAUCACCUUGGAACAUUUCUUAAGAACAAGGUUCAUUAUAUUAUAGUAUACAACUCAGUAUGGGCAAUAUGUACUAAUCCAACAGGGGAUCAGUAUGGGUGAUGCAUUAGCAUGCCCCUAUGUACCAUGUUAAUAUGCUUGGUAUGACUCUGUAUAGCUCGAUACAUAUCGUACUAAUAGCUAGUCGAUACACUAGCAUGGACUAGUAAGACAAACCGCAAGUACUUUUUCUUAAUUUGCUCUAUAUUCUUAGAACUUUUAAGAUUAUAGAUGCCCUAUUUAAGCUUGGUUGGUGGAGUAUCCAUCUUGAAAAUUUCAAGUGCUAAAUUUCUCUUUUAGAUAUUUGAGUUUCUUAUAACUUCUUGAGUUUGAGUUGUCUUUGUAAUUAAUAUGGGAGCUUUGACACAAGGAAUCUGAUGACAUAUUAUACUUAUCUAUAUACCUUGCCUGAUCAAUAUAACAACCAAGUUAUCAUCCUACAAUGAUCAUCACUCGGUACCUAUAGGGACAAUGACUUGACUCUAACAAAAUGGUCUAUAUUAUCAAAAGAAUAACUUGUUAUCCUUAGCAUUUGCACGAAAUACCUUAUUGAUAAUUGUAACAUUUGACGAUUCAAGGCAUAACAUCCUACUUAACAAUAAUUGAAUAUUUCGCAUAAAAGUUUGUAGAGUUAAUCCCCAUUAUGAUUUAACGACUACCCAAGCAUACCAAAAAAGGCCCCCAUGUGCAUUCUUGACUAUAUCUAAGAAAAUAAUCUUAGUUAUCUCUUGAAGCUUUCAAUAUUCCCUAGUAAUUUAGGUAUCUAAAGUACUUUUAUCAGACAAGCCCCUAUUGUAGUUUUUGUAGGACCUUCUAUGAAUCCUUCAUCUUUGUAGGGCCUUCAAUUUGUUCUCUCAUUUUCUCAAUAUCCAACCUGUGAUAAACGUAGAAGUCAUACCUAAUUUAGAUCUAAACACCCCAUUUAUCAUACAACUAUAAUAUGAUUUAUUAGUAUAUUAUAGAAGGUGUGAGUCAUUAGUGGUUAAGUGAAGGCUUUUUAAGCCUUAAAAGGAAAAAAGUAUAAAAGGUUAUUAAUCUUUACUUAUUAAAAGAAAAAUUACUAGUAAAAGCUGAUAGAGGAAUCACGAGUAGGAAUAAGUCAAGAAAAUCAAAUUAUUAUGCCUCUCUAUUGUUUUACCCGUGCUUUUCUCUUAUGUUUGUUUACUUAUUUUAAUUAGAUUUUAUAUAAUUAUUUUUUAUUUGUUAAAAUUUUAAAUUUUGUAGAAGAACUAAUCACCACUUUUAUAGUGCCACUAAGAUCCAAUGCAAAGGCCACCAUUAUCUCAAUACAAAUCAAUGAAAGCAAAGCAAUUUGAUUUAAACUCAGUGAAAGCACUAAGUAGUAUGAGUGGAGUCUGCUGAAAAGAUGAAAUAUGAAGUGGAAGCACCUAUUUCAUAGUGCUAUACUUAGAUAGAAGUCAAGAACUUUUACACUUGUAGAGGCAAUUGCAAAACCAUAUGAUUUCUUGCUUUUCUUGUUUUAAUGAGGUAAGAAUUAUCUCACAUGCAUCGUGUCUGAGUCAAAAGGAGCCUUGAGGCACAUGCAUAUGAUGUUGAUGAUGCAUUUUGGAGUACAAGGUAGGUUGAAGGGGAGUGUUUAUAUAUGUUUGCAAAGGGUAAGUCUUCAUAUAACCUCAUACAAAUCCUUAGGUUCUUUCGAAAUAAGUUAGUGAAAGUAAACACAAAGACAGACUAUUAUAUCAUUCUAAAAAAGCAUAACCUUAUAUCACAUAAGUAGAUAUUAAUUGAAAACACUCUGGUAAAUACAAUAGAAAGAUAGAUUUCGAAAAUUUAAAACGAUCACACGACAAAAGAGUGAAUGCAGCUUGGUACUCAUAAUUGAUGCUCACGAAGGCACAUGCAAUACCGAUUGUUAGUGAUAUGAUGACCUAUCUUUAGAUACUAUCGCAAGCCCCAUAAAAUCUGAUGCCACCUAAAGGGUUUUAGGAUAUUAAGAUAGCUAACAUUUUACAUCGCAUUUCUGCACAAGAAAAUCCUAACAAGUUUAAGUCGGGGGCUUUGUUUAUGGGAAUUUUUAUCUCUAAGUGUGUUACGAUUACAAACCAUAAAGAUCAUAAAAUUUAAUCAAACUUGAGUUAUCGAAGCUAAUUUAGGCCCCUUAUAUAUAUAUUCUGUAAGACACAUAUACAUAGAAAAGCACAGACAUUAACACCUUUGGAAACAAUCUAUAACAACAUGCUAACCUACAAAUUCUGUAAAGGGCCUUUGUGUUAUACUAAGAUUAUUCCAAAACAAGUUAGCUAUGGGAGUAGUAAAUCCCAAGUGGACAGACACAUGAUCACUAAUAAAUGGUAAAAACACCUAUUUACUAUAUUAGUUUGAUGGUGAUAGGAUAAAGAAAUACAUAAUUUUGUAUUCAAAAUUUUUCAGAAAUAACAUAUGAAUUUACUUUUGAUAUAAAAAAAAAUGGUGUAUGAUAGACCACCCAACCUAACUUUUCAUAUGAAUAGUUUGGCCACAUAAUAGGAAUCUACAGUUUUCUUGCAUAGAAUAAAUUGGGCAUAAGGAAAGUUUUAUAUAUUAGGUCCGGAUAUUUGGUAAGGCUAUAUUAUGAAUUAAAAUUGAUUUCGUUAUAAUUAAUAAUUAUGAUUUAUUUUGUUUCCAAUUUAGUUUAGGUUAAGGAUAGUAUGUAACUGUAGAAUAAUUUAUUGUGAAAGAAACUGAGAUUGUCAUUUUUGGGAGAGCUACAAUAUCCAUAUUAAACGUACCAUAUGGCUCCUCUCUUCUCAAACCAUCAUAGGGAGAAAACACAAGCGAUAGGAGAGAAGAGGUAGGGAUCCUCACUUUUGUUAGUUUAUUAUACCUUGCUAUGUUUCAUAGUUUCCUGCUUUCAUAUCAUGACAUGCAUUUCAUUGAUACCUUAUCAUCCUAUUUGAUGACCAAUAGAGAAUAUAUAUAAUAUGCACAAAUUGACCUAUUAAAUGGAAGGGAUUCAUUAUAAAACUAUUUUUGAUGUAUUUGACAAGAUGAUUAUUCUAGGAUGGUUUUGGACAUUCUGUCAAGCAUGAAUUUGUUUAUGAUUAUUAGCAAUUCUUAUGUUGAUAUUUUGAUUUAAGUCUUUCCUUUAUAAAUUUAAUUUUAUAAAUCAAUAUCGGUGAUUGUGCCAAUUAUGAUUAUACACAUGAUUUCAUGAAUCACAUAAUGUUGCAUUUAUUGAGGAACAUUUGGAUGAAUAGAAACAAACGUAUAGAGGGAUUUUGGGGCCAUAUUUAAGACCUAGAAUUCUCCUUUAACUAUUUUGUCUCUAAUAGUAUAUUAACCGAAUAAUUUUGUAGUUGUAUUCGAAAUUAGACUUUUGAUUUUUUCUCAUUCUUAUUCUCCACGUCCUACAAAACUCUCAAACACGAAAGAUUAUUGGAGAAGGUCAGCAUCACCUCUAUCGUCCCCUCAAGAAGUCAAGACGAAGAACAAUUGGUAGAAAAAAAAACCAUCGUGGACGUCAAGACUCGAGACUCGAUUGUUCUAACAUCCCCACAGAAUGUCCUUACAAUGAUUGGCAAUCAAAUUCUCGUUCCACACAAUAUCUACUUUGGUGCCACAUGCAUGACUUAGUAUUUUAUCUAUUGGGCUAAUCAUUUGUUAAAGAAUAGAUCAAAAUUUAACUUUUUAAGAGAAUUCGGUCAAAAACUUAAGUAAUUGAAUCUAAAUCUAGUCAAAUAGUUAAAAUACAGUAAUAAUCAAGUUUGAUCAACUUAUUUGAUUAUAAUAAAUUAAAUUAAUCAAUUUUAUAAUUGAGGUUACAAGUUUAAAAUUUUUAAUUUAUGAAGGAUAAAACUAUAAUUAUAUUAGGAUAUACGAAAAAAAUAUUUUAUUUAUGAAGAAUAAAAUUAUCAAAAGAACAUAGUUAGAAUUAAAAAAAUUUAUAAGGACAAACCUAUAAUUUUAAAAUUUUACCCUCAUAGUUGUAGCUAGUUCCAUCGCGUCCAUGUAUGUGGGUCGGUGAUGCAGUGAUUGCCCAUUGUUUACGUGAUACCUACCACCCAUGCCUGUAAUGGGGCGACUGUCCUCAUGUAGUCGAUCGAAGACCACGCCGACAGAAUGCCUCCGUGGUGCACUGCUAACCAAGCAUCGCCAAUGAAUCGUCCCACCGCGUAGCCAUGCACACGCGCUGACCGACAACCCCCAUAGUCAUCAUGGUACGCGAUUAUACCAGCACAUCCUGUUGUACAGACAUUGGGAACCAUGACCUUCAGCAUUCAAUUGAUAUUAGUCACAACCAGCAAGCUCUGCCAUAGUGGUAUUGCUGCAACCGCCACUGGUAGCGAAACUGUUGUAGGCACCAAACGUAGUGGUACUGCUAUAGUCAUCACACCCCAUUGUGCUUCCACUGGGUACACAGCUACUACUAGUGAUUCCUUAAUGAUACUGUUAUCGAUAGUAAACUGUUAAUCGUGGUCCAUCAAUCAAGCACAAGGAACCUCACAUUGCAUAGAAGCAGAUGAUAAGACAAACUAGAUAGAACAACAAAUCAACACUAUAGGUGAUUUGUUCAUGCAUUGUAAAUAAAAAUCAAAUAACACCUUUUUACAAGCAAAAUAUAUUAACAAAUGGAUCUAAAGUAUUUGAUUUUACAAACAUGGCUUUGAUACCCAUCGUGAGUAUAAAAACCAUCAUUAUGCUACUAUUAUAUGAAAAACCUUAAUGUUAAAAUUUAAAAUUAAAUAAUAAUAUAUUAAAUUUACAAUGUAUACCUUUCAAUAUCAUUUAGAAAGUUUUUAUCUGAUUUAUGGGUGCACCAUCAUUAAAUCCGAAAGUUAUAACGAUGUCGAUCUAUAAGGAGAACUAGACUCGUCUUUUUCUCUCCUCCUAUCCUUCAUAAGACUGCUAUGAGUGAUGGAUUUAAAUAUUAAAAGAGAUUGAGAAUAUAUCAGUAAUAUCAAUAACUAGUUGUAUUGGUUGUACUCAUCCCUAUAAAGUCAUGUUCUUUUAUAGGUGAGAACAGAGGAUUUAGGAUAAAUAAUUAGGAGAGUCCCUCCCAUCAAUAUCAUCCUUUAAGGAAUCCUAUCAUAAUUAGACUUCCUUUUUAUUGAACAAUAAUCAUAAUUAAAAUCUAAUCAUACUCAUUAUACAUUUUACCUAAUUAGAUAGGAUCACAUAAUCUAAUAGGAUAAUAUCAUUAAAGGAUCAUUUUUACGGGGAUGUCACGUAUCAUGAUGGCAAAUUCUACUGCUUAACAAAUAAGUGAAGUCCCUUUUAAUCUACGUAAAGUUCUACCCAGUGUGACGGUGUUGUGAGGUGGUUAUCAAUUUGUAUUCCCUAAUCUCUCCGAUUGUAAAGGAACAACAUCAUUAUUGUACUAAGGCCUACCAAUAUUACCAACUUUAUCAUUGUACCAAAGGUUAAUGUUUUUUGUGCUGUACUUGGAACAAAAAGAAGUUUCUCUUUAUUUUCUGAAUUUGCAUCUGUUUGAUCGAAGUUAGAAGAUAGAAGGGAAAUGAUAUGGUCCUGCUUCAAUUAUCAAAUCAUAGAUACAACACAUUGCAAUUGGUUUUGCUGUAUGGGGUGGCAACAUAAAGACACAUAUGGAUCACUGACCCGUUCUGCUCAGAAGCAGUGGAUGCCUUUUGCUCCUCUCAAAAGUAUGUGUUUUUGAUAGAUUUCUGUAUGUUCUUACCACACAUCAUUAAUUAUUCCAAUGACUACACUACCCUUGGAGUCUUAUUUGGUGAGAUUAGUAACAGGAAAGAAAUGAUGAGAUCUAUCUUGUCUCUAUAUACUUAUUAUCAUGCCAUUUUAUUUGGAAAAACCACUGGCAAUCAUCAUUGGAAUUAUUUCGACUCUUAGCAAUUUAUGUGUCAAAUAGCUACUGUUUCAUUUAACUCUGGUUAUCCUAGUGCUACAGGUAAAAAAAGAUACAUAUAUCUUCAAACUUACCUCAGAAAUUAUAGCAUAGAAUUGAAAUGAAAACUUGCAUAACAUAUCGAAUCCGAGAAAUGGAUGACCAAAAUGCUGGGUUGCAAAAAUGAAAAACUAUACUGUGGCUUUAUAACUCAAAUUUUGGAGAAUUCAUUGAGGCAUCAAGAGAGAGACUUUGAUUAAGGUCUCUUCAAAUAUUGUAAGUUGAAAGAUGAUCAGGUCAUUGAAAAUAUAGAUAAGUAGAUUAGAGACUGGAUUGAUCGAUCUAAUUUAAUUUGUCUUUAGAAACAUGUAAAUCCAAGUUGACAAUUUUGAAUUCAGAAUGUUUUUGGAUGGGUUUCUUUGUGUUAUACCAACUAGCAUGAACAAUAUAUUGAGUAAAUCAGACAAAUUGAGUAUGAUAGUAUGAACAUAUCUUAUAUAGUGUGAACAUCACCCGAACAUGGGUGAAAACAUCUUAUAUUCAUUGAGUUGAUUCAACCCGGUCCACUUCUCCAGAGUUGUCAUGUUUAAGAAUUAGAAUCUUGCAAUGGUUUGUCAUUCUCUCUAGGUGAUUUGAGAACUGUUUUAUCUUAUUAUGAUGCAUUGGGUUCGGUCGAUUCUAAGAUUAAGUUAACUUGAAGACGAGCCGAACGUAUAGUCGACUUGAAGACAUAUCGAACUUAGAUAUGAUCGGCUUAAAUAUGUGAUGGACUUAAGGAUGUGAUCGUCUCAAAAGAUAUAAACGAUAGAAAGUCACAAUCGACUAGAAGAUGUGACCGAGUUGAAGUUAUGAAAUAUUUGAGAGACACGACCAAGUUGAAGAAACAAUCAAUUUAGAGAAGUCGGUGUUGAUAUCAGUAAUGGUAGUAAGGGGAGUUUGUGAGUGAAUUAGUUCUAGUAUAAAUUUGACAAUCUUCAAAGGUUAAAAAAAAAAGGAAAAAAGUAGAGAACUAAUAUAAACAAGUAUGCGAAAGUGAGGUGCACAAAUAGAAGAUAGACACACCAAUUCAUAGUGAUGAAGAUUUUCUGACCUAUGUCGACAUCAAGCUUUCACUAUUUAUCUUAUUUCCAAUAUGUGAAUAUCAAUUAUCACUUACAACUUUUUCUUCUUCAAAACUUAGAAGUUUUAGACUUAGAACACUCAAGCUUUUACAAAUGUUUCGACACCUUCCAUGACGUAGCAAGCCUAAUAAAACUCAAAGCAAGUUUUUAGGAGAAGAUUUUCAACACUUGAAGAGCUCAAGGAUCUUUUUUUCUGCCAAUCUAAAAAGGAUAUUUAUAGGCGCAAGAGAUCCUAAAAACCUAUAAGAAUAAAGGGGGUAAGAUACUCUUUACCAUUGUCAUAUUAGGCAGUAUCACUGUCGACUUGAGUGGUGCCACUACUUGGCCUAACUGUCACUACUUGCCCUAGCAGUAUCAUCGCUUGAGCCUAUAUUAGCUUAGUACAAAAUCCAAAAGCCUUUUGGUUCCAACCCAAUAAUAAUAUAUUUUAGCCUAAUGACUCGACAUUCAAUCCUUUGUGUGUGUGACUAACCCUUCAGCACAAAGAUAUAUUCGACUCAUCAUAUGAACUUCUGAUUUAUUCGACUCAUCAAUCUAUCCUUCCACUCAACAACCUCAUCCUCCACAAUGUAUGCACCUUUAGUUAUUUAUGGACAUCUUGUUAUUUAUAUUUUUAUUCCAAAUUUCAAUUUUAUAAUUUAGGAAUUAUUUAAGGAAACUCACUAGGUGUUGGAAUUUGAGUAUCUGAUGUUGCAAAUCAAACUUAUUACAACAAUCUCUAUGUUUAAUGUUAUAAUUGUUUUACAAUUUUGGUUGUCUGUAAAGCUCGCUUUUUAUAUAAUCUGAUCAUUCCAAAUCUCAAUUAUGUUAUGAUUUUGCAGAAGUGUGAUUGGUUCUGAACUAAUUCACAUUGAAAACUGUAUUGGAAUCAGCAUACCAAAUCAUCAGUUAAUGAAAAGAACUGAAUUCAACAGUUUCCUGAUUGAAUACUGGUUUCCCGGUUUGCAUGGGAUUUGAGUUAAUGAAAUAUAUCCUAAUUUUCCCAAGUUGAUCCCGAAUCCAUCUGAAGUUGGCAAUAAUCCUAAAGAUCAUAGAUAGAUCAUUUAGCCCAAUAAUGGUAAAACAUCAUUAUUUCAUCCAUAAAGAUGACUAUAUUUAUCUUUUGACCCGAAUGAUCUCAAAAUCUUUUUCUUAACACAAAUGGCACAACUCCUAGCUCAAAAACUUAUCUAAAAGGGCACAAAAAAAGUCAAGAAUUCAUAGCUACUUUAUGGGUCCCAUAUCACUUAAUUUUUGAUAUUUAGGGGGUUCAUGGGAUCUAUAACUCAUAAAUGAGUAUAUAAUUGGGAUUGAUAAAGUUUUUUCCUCUACAAAUAACUCCUUUCUUUCAUUUUAAUUUUUCUUAUUUUUCUAUAUUAAAUUAUAUAUUAUUAUUUUUAAGGUGAAUUAACAACACCCGAUGAAAAAAAUAUAGUAUCACAAUUAAUCUCACAUCAAAAGUAAAUUAAAAUUAAAAUUAAUUUGUAAGUGUUUAAUGAGUGUACGACUAUUAACUUCGACUAAGUAUUUUUAGUCGAUUUAGAUUCAGUGAAAUUAAAAGACUAGUUAUAUUAGAAUCGGUUUGACAAUGACUUUAUAUGGUGAAAAAAUUACUUGACAUGCAUCAUACAAUAGUUUUGUGGAUGGACAUAUCAUUUGUAACAGUGCUAACCAAAGGUUCAACCUAAUAAUGAAGCUCCAACAAAUGCAAGGAUAGUGCAAAUUAAAUUUCUAUAAUGCUUAUGCUUGGACUUAAUUUGCAAUUGUAAUUCAUGAAUGGUCUAAAGCUUUCCCUCAGAGUUAGGAGAAGACUUCUUCAGGAGCCAAAAAUAUAGGCGAUUAAAAUGGCUAAACAAAAGUACAGAUCGACAUCUUGUUACAAAGAGGACCGAGUCACAAGGAAAUGGGAAACGAUCGUCCACAUCUUGUUUCAAACAGGACCAAGUCACAAGGAAAUGGAACCCAUGCAUGGCCUCUGGUUUGCUUGCUUUAUCCAUUCUCUUCCCCCCCCCCCCCCCUCCUUCCCUCCCUCCCUAUAUAAACACCCCCCUCCCUUCAUCCGUAAUCGGCCUAUCACAUCAGGAGCCAGGGCUCCAAAAUAAACAUCCUCCUUUCACUCCUUUGUAUCGCCAAUUUGAUGCACAGGCAUAUCUCGGAAUAAAAGAAUAAAAGAGAAGAUGUCGAAGGCCAUCUUCGGUGCUGUCUCGGCGGUCCUCCUCGUGGCCGCGGUGAUCGGAGUGGUAGCUACUGUUGUGAGUUCGAAUCAUAAGACCGAUGCUUCUGAGGGUGAUGGUUCACUUACCACCACGUCCAAGUCCGUCUCGGCCUUCUGCGCCAAAACUGACUACCAAGCCGACUGUGAACGCACCAUUGGUUCUGCCAUCAAUGGCUCUUCCUCCCCCAAGGAAGUCAUCCAAGCUUCUUUUCAGGCGGCCAUUGACGAAAUCCAAGCUGCCUUCCACCUGUCCAACAACGUAAGUUUGAAGGCGAAUGACCCGAUGAACAAGGCUGCGUUCAACAUUUGCCGGCAGCUCCUCGAGGAUGCCGAUGAGGAGCUCAAUGCUGCCUUCUCGGAGACUCAUGACCUUCAGGGUCUGGCGAGGAGGACCGAUGACAUCAAGACAUGGCUCUCGGCCGUCAUCUCCUACCAGCAGACCUGUCUCGAUGGCAUCACCGAACCGGAGCUCCAGUCCACCAUGAAGGACGGUCUAAGCACGGCCACAAAGGUCACCAGCAAUGCCAUUGCCAUUGUCGAUGAGCUUAGUUCAUUAUUAAAGUCCUUCAAGAUCCCGAUUAACAUAACCAUGGGCAGUCGACGCUUACUGGUCGAUGAGCAAGGGUACCCUUCGUGGUUCUCGGGCCAUGACAGGAAGCUCCUGGCUGCCCAAGCGCGAGGCCAGCUGACCCCUAAUGUGGUGGUUGCUAAGGAUGGGAGUGGAAAGUUCAAGACGAUCAACGAUGCCGUUAAUGCCAUGCCAAAGGAUUACUCUGGGCGGUACGUGAUCUACGUGAAGGCUGGGGUCUACAAGGAGAAUGUCAUCGUUGGCAAGGAUAAGGUGAACGUCCUCAUGUACGGUGAUGGAUCAAGGAAGACAGUCGUGACCGGGAGCAAGAACUACGUCGAUGGCGUGCAAACUGUUGAUACCGCGACCUUCGGUUUGUGCUUUCCUUACUUUCCCAUGUUAUAUAUGCUUCUACUUUACUACUGCACUACUGCAAUAGUAUAGAGCAGAAGGAAAGCUCAUGUUACUGGCAUUCCCCAGCUGCCCUCGGACAAGGCUUUAUCGCCAAGUCAAUGGGGUUCAGCAACACGGCCGGAGCAGAGAAGCACCAAGCUGUGGCGCUCCGCGUGCAGUCGGACAUGUCAGCCUUCUUCAACUGCAGGAUGGAUGCGUACCAAGACACCUUAUACGUGCAGGCCCACCGACAAUUCUACCGCAACUGCGUCGUCUCCGGGACGAUUGACUUCAUCUUCGGCGACUCCUCCACCAUCCUUCAGAACUGCCUCCUGGUGAUGCGACGCCCGAUGGACAACCAGCAGAACAUCUUAACGGCUCAUGGGCGAUCUCAGGCGAAGGAGACCACCGCGCUGGUGAUCCAGAACUGCCGCAUCGUCCCGGACAAGUCCUUGUUCCCGGAGAGGUUGAAGUUCCGCAACUACCUUGGCCGGCCAUGGAAGGCAUACUCGAGGACCAUCGUCAUGGAAUCUACCAUCGGAGACCUGAUCCAGCCUGAGGGUUGGAUGCCGUGGGACGGAGC